RNAcentral lists this long non-coding RNA (77809 nucleotides) under Triticum aestivum (bread wheat). RNAcentral's name for it is "long non-coding RNA (TAES_LNC014191)". Lineage: Eukaryota; Viridiplantae; Streptophyta; Magnoliopsida; Poales; Poaceae. The record is from RNAcentral.
AACUAUAUAACUUGGCUACGAACAAUAGGCCAUCCCUCCAUUUGUCUCCUAUAAGCAGUUCCAACAAUGUAUUAAUGGUGACAGCAGGGUUACAAAUUUGUAAUUCCUCUCGAAUAGCCUCCUACAUCCGAUCGCUGGAGCGAAGGAAUGUUCAUGGGCUUAUUCUAUUCAGCCUCAGCACUUCUGAAGAGUGGCAACACCAACGAGCAUAAGCUAAACUAUAUGUAGCUCAUAACUUCAGGUAGUAGUUGAUAGCAAAAGAAUUUUCCAGGCAAUAACUGAGAUUGCACUGUAUUUUCUUCUGAUCCCAAAUAGAGGUAUGUCGAGAGAUUACUGCAUCUCUUUUGUUCUCUUGUCGAGGCCAGCAUAUCCUUUUUCUGAAACUAAUUCUAGCAUAUCUCCUGGGAAACUGCAGCAGUGAACACACACUGUAAGAAAUCUCUUCUAAACGUUUCCGUUUGAUGCGUAUGACCAGUACUCGUUGACCAGCUCACGGAAGAGAGAUCCCUCAGUUUCCAUGAGCUUCAUGGGCUUGUCAUACUCCACUACUUUCCCUGGAAAUGUAUGCAGAUCAGUAGUAUGGAAUACUAUGCUGCGGAACCAAUAAGUUGCAGAAUCAGUAAGUUGGCAAUAAGAGAAACCAAUAGGUUGCGGAACCAAUAAGUUGUCAUACUCCGCUAGUUUCCCACAUUAGUAUGGAAUACUAUGUUGAAGAACCAAUAUGUUGGCAAUAAGAGGAACAUACAUACCAUCACUUAUUGCAAGUACCAUGUCACAGCCCAUAACUGUUGGUAUACGGUGUGCGACCGUAAUAACGGUGCAAUGUUUGAAUUCUGACUGGAUCGUUUUCUGAAGGACGGCAUCAGUUGCAUUAUCUAUAGAGGCCGUGGCUUCAUCAAGAACUAAGAUCCUGCACCUUUUCAAAAGUGUGCGGCCCAAGCAAAAGAGCUUCCUUUGGCUCAUGCUCCAGUUCGACCCGUCUUUCGCAACUGUAUGGAAAGAUAUAGAUCAGUACUAUGAAGAACACAAUUCCAGACUUCAUGCAAGCAAACUGAUCCGACUCAUACGCCUAGUAUUACAAGCAGUUUGACAGAUUUAUUGGCGCAUGUAUUCUAAUUGGUUAGGGGCAUAAAAUCAAAAGACUGAAGCAGAAUUGUAAUAUGCUAUCCUAUUUUGUUAGGGGCAUAAAAUGAAAUCCAGAAAUCAAAUCAUAGGUACAGUGAGGUUUCCUACCAAGUGAAUCCAAUCCCUGUUCCUUCUCCCGGACAGCCUCAAGAAGUUGGUAUUUGUCAAGAACCUGCAACCGAACAGCAUAUGAAUUAACCAAUUUAAUGGGUUCUUUUUCCAAAUGCAUGUAUGGCAUAUAACAGAGAAUGGACUUAUCGUUUGACAGGCCCACUAAUCAGUUUAUUCAUCCCAAUCAGACAAGGAGCUUACUGUUCUGAAAUUGUAGAUACAUAACAUGUCUUACCUCCCAUAUUAGUUGAUCUAAGAACUGCCCAAGGGGAUCUAGAUUAUAUCUUACUGUACCCUGAAAAAGUGUUGGAUCUUGUGGAAUGAUGCCCAAACGUGAACGCAGGUCAUGUAAGCCUAUUUUACUGAUGUUCACAGAGUCUAUAAUUAUAUCCCCUUCAGCAGGUUCAACAAGGUGAAACAAUGCACCAAUUAAAGUUGUCUUGCCACUUCCUGUUCGACCAACUAUACCAAUUUUAUCUCUACCUUGAAACUUGCAAGUGAUUCCAUGUAGUACAAGGGAGUAUCUUCCAUAUACCUAAUCUGUCAAUGAAAACCAAUCACACACAUCUGUCAGAAUAUUUGAAGGGUUUCGCCCUAGUCAGGCAUACAUGCAUAUUUUAUAUUUGCUUACCUUCAAAUCUUUAAGCUCCACACUGCCAACCUGGGGCCAAUCUGGUGCUGGUCGGUUUUCUUCAAUAACUUCUGCUGCUUCACUCGGAAUGUCCAUGUACUGGUUCACCCGUUCCACAGAUAUUAUUUUGUUUGCAAGGUCACAUUGCUUUUGAAUAGAGCUAACAAAGGAAUUAUUUAGGGAAAGGCCGUAGGACAAUGCCAUUCCAACAAAACCUGUGCCAAGUAUGGUAAAAAGUAAUUAGUUUUCUGAGGAUAAUGUUGAUUUCUUUAUAAUCCAGUGCAUAUUAAAUGUAUAUUUAUAAUGACAGUGGCACAUAGACAUUGAGCGUAUAACGUGUUACUAAAUGGAAAAUUGGGUAUCCUCCACUAGGGUUUCGAGCCAUUCGCCGUUAUGCAGAAGGAUUCUGUAACUCUAUUUGACAAAGAAAGUAGGCUUUCAUAACGAAGUAGAGCCUUCGUAACACCUAAUACCAGGAGCCUAUGGAAACAAACAAAAAAGCUUUUGCAGUGCAAAAUAACGAUUCAUUGCAAAUCAGAUGAAUGCAAUGAUCAAUCGUCAUACAGCUUGUAAGCUGCCAUAAAUAUGUGCAGCACAUGAAACAACUAUGUGAUGCUUGUACCUGGAAUAAGCUACAUACCAGGGCUAAAAGUUCCUGCAGGAAGAAGAGCCAUGACAAAAGCAGAAGAAGAAAGAACCGCAGCACUCAUUAUUUCCAGACGUUGAAUCAACCAUUCAGUUGCUGCAAAAUUAAAAAAGUACGGACCAGCAUUCUUGUCAACUAACUCCAGAUUUUUAGCAAAGAAACGACCUUCUUCCUCAAAGGCACGUAUUGUUAUAGCCCCUGAGAUCGAUUCACCUAAGUGAUUUACUAGAGCAGACUUGGUAGUGCCAUUGAUACGCAUCAAUUCCUUAGCCGAGGCUAAGUAGUACCUCUGAACAAACAUAUGAAAUGUCAGCCAACGGGAAUUGUGAAACGAAAAAAGUAGACGAACUUUACCUCCUGGGUGAAAAUAGCAGCAUAUCAUUUGGUGAAUGAAAUAACCAAAGAAAGGGGGUUUAGGCGUUUAGCCAUACAGAAAAAGGCCACAAGAUUACCUGUAACCGAAUUGCCAAAACUAUCAUUGGCAAUGGUACAAACAGAACUUGCCGUGUAACAACAGCCAAUACCCCCAGAUUGCUAUAUGCAUUUAAGCUGGAACUAAAGCCAAACAUCAAUGCAAAUGGAACAUCAAGGUCAAUGAUGCUUAAAUCUGAAGAGACCUGCAGGUUGGGGGGAGGGUUGAUCUAUUAAUAUAAAACCUUGUAACGUUAAACUGAAUUGUAGUUCAUAUAGUUGUGUUUGUUUGAGAAUUUUUACCUGGCUAAGAACCCUGCCUAGAGGAGUAGAAUCAAAGACGGACAUUGGUGCACGGAACAAUGAAUUAAGUAGCUGGGAAAAUAAGGAUCUUGAAGUCUGCAUCCCAAGAACAACGAAGAAUAUAGAUCUUGAUAGCACAAAGAACACCGUGCAAACUCCAAUAACAAUGUACACAGAAAUUAACUUUAGUGCACUAACAUCAGGAUUUUGGACAUUAGCGGCCAUCCAUGAAUUCUGUGAUAUUUGCCCAGCUAUGAAAAUUAUGUGAGACAUGACAGAAAGGGACGCAUACAGGAAGCCUUUUUUCUGGCGCAGGUAUAGGAUAUAAGGCUUAAGACCUGCGUCCCCUGAUUCUCUUUCCUCUGUUUUGAUCAGUUGAUCUACUGGUGAUGGCUUCACAGACUCUAUAUAUCUGUUUCCAUGAAUACCAUCUGUCUCCUUUAUUGGCAAAUCCUUUGCUCUGUGAUGGGCCAUAUUGUUAAGAUCUGAAACACCAGUAGUAUCUUUAUGGUCAUUUACAAGAUAUCUAAAUUCUUGGCAAUCUGACAAUAAAUCAUGAUAAGACGCAGACCGAAUAACCACCCCAUCUGACAUUAACUGCCAAAAAUUAUCACUAGUUUUAGACGAAAUCGACAAAUAUAAAUACGUGCAUGCUACGGGAAUCACAAACUUUAGAACAAGUAUUUCUCAAAUUCACAACUACUCAACUAGCAUGACUCCAAUAUCACCAUCUUCAUAUUUGAAAACAAUCAUCAAGUAUCAAAUUUCUCAUAGUAUUCAAUGCACUUUUUAUGAUAGUUUUUAUUAUAACUAUCUUGGAUGCCUAUCAUAUUAGGAAUAAUUUUAUAGCCAAAGCAAAUUACCAUGCAGUUCUAAAAGACUCUCAAAAUGAUAUAAGUCAAGCACGAGAGAUCAAUAAUUUCUAUAAAAUAAAACCACCACCGUGUUCUUAAAGAUAUAAGUGAAGCACUAGAGCAAAAUUAUCUAGCUCAAAAGAUAAAAGUGAAGCACAUAGAGUAUUCUAAUAAAUUCCGAUUUAUGUGUGUCUCUCCAAAAGGUGUGUACAGCAAGGAUGAUUGUGGUAAACUAAAAAGCAAAGACUCAAAUCAUACAAGACGCUCCAAGCAAAACACAUAUCAUGUGGUUAAUAAAAAUAUAGCCUCAAGUAAAGUUACCGAUAGACGAAGACGAAAGAGGGGAUGCCUUCUGGGGCAUCUCCAAGCUUAGGCUUUUGGUUUUCCUUGAAUUUUACCUUGGGUGCAUUGGGAAUCCCCAAGCUUAGGCUCUUGCCACUCAUUGUUUCAAAAUCCAUCAAAUCUUUAUCCAAAACUUGAAAACUUCACAACACAAAACUCAACAGAAAAUCUCAUGAGCUCCGUUAGUAUAGGAAAACAAACCACCACUUCAAGGUACUAUAAUGAACUCAUUCUUUAUUUAUAUUGGUGUUAAACCUACUGUAUUCCAACUUCUCUAUGGUUCAUACCCUCCGAUACUAGCCAUAGAUUCAUCAAAAUAAGCAAACAACACACGAAAAACAGAAUCUGUCAAAAACAGGACAGCGUGUAGUAAUCUGUAGGUUUCGAAUACUUCUGUAACCCCAAAUAUUCUGAAAUAAAUUGGUGGACGUGAGGAAUUUGUCUAUUAAUCAUCUGCAAAAAGAAUAAACGUAAUCGCACUGUCCAAUAAAAAUUGCAGCAAAUCUCGUGAGCGCUAAAGUUUCUGUUUUUUACAGCAAGAUCGCAAAAACUUCCCCCAGGUCUCCCCAAAGGUUCUACUUGGCACAAACACUAAUUAAAAGCAUAAAACCACAUAUAAACAGAAGCUAGAUGAAUUAUUUAUUACUAAACAGAAUCAAAAAGCAAGAAACAAAAAUAAAAUUGGGUUGCCUCCCAACAAGCGCUAUCGUUUAACGCCCUAGCUAGGCAUAAAAACAAGAAUAGAUCUAGGUAUUGUUAUCUUUGGUAUGCAAUCCAUAAGUGACUCUCAUAAUAGAUUCAUAAGGUAAUUUAAUUUUCUUUCUAGGAAAGUGUUCCAUGCCUUUCCUUAACGGAAAUUGGAAUCUAAUGUUUCCUUCUUUCAUAUCAAUAAUUGCACCAAUCGUUCUAAGAAAAGGUCUACCAAGAAUAAUAGGACAUGUAGGAUUGAAAUCCAUAAGUGACUCUCAUAUUUUUAGGCAAAGACGAAAACCAAGUUUUAGCAUGAUCUCUAAGCGAAAACAGAAAUAGCUUCAAUUUAACAAUAGCAUUAUCCAUAUAUUUCUUCUUUUGCAUAUCACAUAAAUCAACAAAGCUGUUUAGAUGGGUAGCGGCAUCUUCAUUAGGAAGACUAGAAAACGGAUAUUUCAUGACAAGAUUCAGCAAAACAGUAUUAAUUUCACAAGAUUCAACAUCGGUAAGAGGAGCAAUCGGAGUGCUAAUAAAAUUAUUAUUGUUGGUAUUGGAGAAGUCACACAAUUUAGUAUCAUCUUGAGCCAUCAUGACAAACAAUCAAUCCAACACACAAGCAAACAAGAGGCAAACAAAAAGAGACGAACUGAAAAGAGGCAGACUGAAAAGAGGGCGAAUAAAACGGCAAGGGUGAAGUGUGGGAGAGGAAAAUGAGAGACAAAUGGCAAAUAAUGUAAUGCGAGGGGUAAGAGUUUGUGAUGGGUACUUGGUAUGCCUUGACUUGUGCGUAGAUCUCCCCGACAACGGUGCCAGAAAUGGCUUGUUGCGAGAGAUUAAAUCUUGACUUGACUUGGUGCAACCUCCCCGGCAACGGCGCCAGAAAUCCUUCUUGCUACCUCUUGAGCUUGCGUUUUCCCUUGAAGAGGAAAGAGUGAUGCAGCACAGUAGCGUAAGUAUUUCCCUUAGUUUUUGAGAACCAAGGUAUCAAUCCAGUAGGAAAUUAUACGCAAGUCGCCUAGUACCUGCACAAACAAACAAGAACCUCGCAACCAACGCGAUAAAGUGGUUUUCAAUCCCUUCACGGCCACUUAUGAAAGUGAGAUCUGAUAAAAAUAAUAAGAUCAAUAUUUUUGGUAUUUUUGUUGUAUAGAUUGGAAAAUAAAGAUCGCAAAAUAGAAAUAGCAAGUUGAUAGGAAAAUAAUAUGAUGGAAGAUAGACCCGGGGGCCAUAGGUUUCACUAGUGGCUUCUCUCAAGAUAGCAAAUUCUAUGGUGGGUGAACAAAUUACUGCCGAGAAAUUGAUAGAAAAGCGCAUAGUUAUGAGAAUAUCUAGGCAUGAUCAUGUAUAUGGGCAUCACGUUCGCGACAAGUAGACCGAAACGAUUCUGCAUCUAGUACUAUUACUCCACACAUCAACCGCUAUCCAGCAUGCAUCUAGAGUAUUAAGUUCAUAAGAACAUAGUAACGCAUUAGGCAAGAUGACAUGAUGUAAAGGGAUAAACUCAAGCAAUAUAAUAUAAACCCCAUCUUUUUAUCCUCGAUGGCAACAAUACAAUACAUGCCUUGCUGCCCCAGCUGUCACUGGGAAAGGACACCACAAGAUUGAACCCAAAACUAAGCACUUCUUCCAUGGUAAGAAAGAUCAAUCUAAUUGGCCAAACCAAACUGAUAAUUCAAAGAGACUUGCAAAGAUAUUGUUCAUGGGUAAUCUAGAUCAUAAACCCACAAUUCAUCGGAUCUCGACAAACACACCGCAAAAAGAAUUACAUCGAAUAGAUCUCCAAGAGAAUCGAGGAGAACUUUGUAUUGAGAUCCAAAGAGAGAGAAGAAGCCAUCUAGCUAAUAACUAUGGACCCGAAGGUCUGUGGUAAACUAUUCACACAUCAUCGGAGAGGCUAUGGUGUUGAUGUAGAAGCCCUCCGUGAUCGAUUCCCCCUCCGGCAGAGCGCCGAAAAAGGCCCCAAGAUGAGAUCUCACGGGUACAGAAGGUUGUGGCGGUGAAAAUAGGGUUUCGUGGUGCUCCUGAAUAUUUUCGGGGUAUAUAGGUAUAUAGAGGAGGUAGAAGUACGUCGGUGGAGCUGCGAGGGGCCCACGAGGGUGGGGGGCACGCCUACCCCCCUGGGCGCGCCCUCCUGCCUCGUGGCCUCCUCGCUUCUUUCUUGAUUUCCACUCCAAGUAUCCUGGAUCACAUUUGUUCCAGAAAUAACUCUCCUGAACGUUUCAUUCCGUUUGGAUUCCGUUUGAUAUUCCUUUUCUGCUAAACAUUGAAAUAGGCAAAAAAACAGCAAUUUGCACUGGGCCUUUGGUUAAUAGGUUAUUCCAAAAAUAAUAUAAAAAGGUAUAUUAAAGCCCAUUAAACAUCUGAAACAGAUAAUAUAAUAGCAUGAAACAAUCAAAAAUUAUAGAUACGUUGGAGACGUAUCAAGGAGCAAGUCGGCAACACACGAACUCCACUCCAAGUCUCCAACGCCUCUAUACUGUUGUAAAAGGAAGAAUAUAGAUUAAUCACUAGCUAGAUUAAGAUUGAGGGCAAAGAAAAGAGAAAUUUAUCUAGAUGUACUUACCUUUCUUUCCUGCAAGCAUCCGGCGGGCCGAUCUGCGAGGCGGGCGAGAAAACGAACCGGCGUGGAGACUGAUGAGGAAUCGCCGCCUCGCCGCUGUGCGUGCGUACCUUCUUCGGGCCUCUUGGCAAUUGGGCUUUUGUUGGAAGUUGGAUGAUGGGCCUCUCAGCCUACAGACUUUUUCUUUUUUAUUUUCAUUCACGAAUUCAUCAGGGCCUAUAUCAUCUACUACCUGAAAUCUAAAACGUGUGCGCGCGCUAGUUGGAGAAAUCAAGCGGCCGCUCUGUCGCAUGCAUGUGUAUAUGUUUUGUCUGCUAGUGCAUGUGAUUGCUGGCAUUAAAUCCGGUCAGACUUGUCACAUGUGAAGAAAAAAUAGAUCCACGCAUAUUUAUUUCUGUUUUUAAAUUUUUAAAAAGUCAUAUCUUUCAAACCACGCACCGGAAUUCAGAUCCAUCUUCACCAUUUGAUUCCUCAUGACGAGAUCGUUCAAACUAGAUCCUGCAUGGGUAUAUUUCGACGAAAUGUUUUUAUGCCAACUUUGAUGCUAUAUGGUGCAACUUUAGUACUGUAUUGUGCAACUUUAGUGCAACAUCGUGCAACUUUUUCGGAAACCAAUUUUUAGAUCUGCAUGAUUCAACUUCCUAUGAGAUUGCUAUCUAGCAACUAUGACAACAUUGAUGUGCAACUAGUCUACCAUCUCGAUCAAUUACCUAGUAGUCGAUGUGCAACCCUCCUCUCUACAUGUGGAUGUGUAGUUCGUUUACUGUUGGCACACCCUACCCCCUACCCCUGCAAGCAAUAUGUGCAACUUAGUCUAUUAUUCAAUCCAACUGUCUAUUAGUCAUUGUGCAACUCCUUCCCCUCCCUAUUUGUGGACAUGUACUUUCAGUUGGCGGGGGCAACAAACAGAGUUGCACAUAGUCUGCUAGGUAGUUGGCCAGGGAAACAUACGAAGUUGCACAUCUCAUAGGCAGAGAUAGUUGAAUGGUGAAAAAUUGACAUUCAUGAGAGUAAUGAAAAGUUGCAUAUAAACAGAGUGCUAAAGUUACAAAUCUCACUAACAGGGGUGGUUUGGGCCGGGUGAUAGUUGGGAAACUACACAUCCAUGGGGGUAUGAGAGAAAGUUGCACAUCACUGUUAGAUAGUUGGCCGUUGCAGUAUUCGAAGUUGCACAUCCACUGUUAGUAUGUUGGCCGAUGCAGCAAACAGUGAAGCACAUCCACGGGCGGGGGAAAGUUGCACAUCAACUACUAUGAAGUUGGCCUGGGCAACAUACGAAGUUGCACAUCUCACUAGAAGGAGGAAGUUUGGGGCUGGAGGUACCAUAAAGGAAAAUUGCAUGUCUACAGUGUAGGAGAAAAGUUGCACAUCUCUGAGGUAGUUGCACAUCGACGACUAGCCAGUUACACAAAACAUGGACAAAAUUACACAAAAAAAAUUUCGUCGAAACAUACCCAUGCUGGAUCUGGUUUCGAAGAGCACGCCGCGAGGGUUCCAACAAUGAAAACGGAUCUUAAUUUCGAUGCACUGCUCGAAAGUUAUGGUUUUUUAAAAUUUAAAAACACAAAUUAAAUGGGUUCACAUAUAUUCACGUGAAUACUUUGCAAUUAUUUAUCUUGUUCACACAUGUCCAUACCUCUUCACUUUGCCUAAUAUGGAUUAGGGAGAGAAAAUAUUCCAUUUUUUGGCCGGCCAUCGCGGAGCGCUAGCGGGCCAACGGCCACCUGCUAGACCAGUCCCAUCUACUAUACACACAUUGCAGCACGGGUCAGGGCCCCUAGUUUGGCUGGGCCCGGGCCGUCGCCCCUGCUGCCCUGGCCCAGGGCCGGCCCUGACCGGAAGUUUCAACUUCCUUUCUGGAAAAAGGUGGCCCGCAAAUCGACACGCCUGACCUUAUCAUGCCGUUGUCACACUGGGCUUAGCGACCUCGCCUUGAUUGCUAAAUUUGAUCUGCUGGGGCCCGAUGGGUUGUUUUCAGGGCAGUCGUGUCGAACUUGGGCAGUUGUUAAUUUGUGAGCCAAAUCCUAACUGAUACGAGCAGUUUCUAAUGUGUGAAGCACAAUUCAACUGCUGAUGAGGCAGAGUAUUUUUGUGGGUUCUGGCAUGUCUUUUUUCUUUUCUUUCACAAGCAUGCCAAUUUGUACAUUCUUUUCUUUAUGAGAAGACAAUGCUCAUGCCAGUUGCGGGAAAAAACUUUCAAUACUCCCAAAUUGCUAUAUGCAUUUAUGCUGCCACUGAAGGUAAGCAUGAAGGCAAAUGGAACAUCAACACCAAUAAUACUCAAAUCAGAAGAGACCUCAGGGGACGGGGGUGAUUGUGGUGGAUAAUCCAUCAGUAGAAAAUGAGUGUGAAACAUAAAUGUAUUAUCAUAAUUGUCAUGUGUUUAUUUAUUUUUACCUGGCUAAGAACCAUGUCUAGAGGAGUAGAAUCAAAGGACAUGGGUGGUCGGGACAAUGGAAUGAGCAACUGCAAAAAUAAGGAUCUUCAAGUCUGGACGCCAAUACCGAUGAAUAAUGAUCACGAUAGUACAAAGAAAAUUGUGCAAAAUCUGAUAAUAAUAUAAACAUAAGUUAAUUUCAGUGUACUACACGAGCAUUUUAGACAUUGGCAGCCAUCUAUGAAUUCAGUGAUAUUUUCCCAGCAAAGAAAUUUCGGUUGUGUUGAUUUCUUUUCACUUUCAGUUCAACAAAGUUUUCAUCAAGAAAGAAAGGUUUGUGAGCUUUACAUCCAUGGUUGUCCCUUACUCUAGUUCAUGUCAAUGAUAUAUAUGAUCCGAUAUUUCUUAUUAACUGCAAUUUUUGAACAAGUUUGUGAAGAAACCAAACUUUUGCGAAGAAGAAUCAUACUAUUUUUAUUUAACAUUUUUUUAUGAUGUAUAAAUUCGAUACGGAGUGUUUCUCCUACAUUUUUGUAUGCGGCCUACAUGAAUACACAAAGAAGGUUUACAAUAACAAGAUACGAAUUUAGGCGGUAUCCGCAACAAAGUCUUGUAUCACAGUCCUUACAGCAACUGGAAUUCGAACUGAGUGGGUACUUCCGUCUGACCAUGUCAAGCUCCCGAAAGUGUAUCCUCCUUGCACUCUCUGCCUUGUGGUGAAUGUCACCAUAAAUGUUGCGCUUCUACUGCUUCCUUUGGUGAAAGUAAUCACAGAUGGUUCUACCGACACAUCUAUACCUGCUGGAGCUUCAACCACUAAAUGAUAUGUUGCUUCCGCUGGCCCAACGUUAGUCACAGCGCGCCGAAGCAUGACAUGGUCCUUGAGGUCCGGCACGACAAUUGACGGGAGGUUGAGAUUGAGGUAGUAGGACUCACAACCAUCUAAAUAUCCAAGAGUGCAGUUCAAAAACUUGUUGUACUCUCUUGCAUCCACGUCAUAAACCAAGCCAGGGUCAACAGCUCUAUCUGGGUCUAUAUGUCCACCACCAAAGUCGAAGGGGUCAGCUAGUUUCCUUGGGACCGCUUCUGCUUGGAUUGGCAUGCCAAAACGAUCAGUCACAGAUGCUGCAACCAAGACAAGAAACAAUCAAAUCAGUUUUAUAUUUUGACGAAUUGUUUUCAUGUAUUUUUUGUAUUUCAAUGUUCACACCUGUGGUGACGAUGGCAGACUUGAUUAUGGCAGGUGACCAGCCAGGGUGAACCGACUUGAGCAGUGCGGUCACAGCGGAGACAUGCGGGCACGCCAUGGAUGUCCCGGAUUUGAACACGUAGGAGUCGCGGUCCGCUGCCAAGAUGCUGACGCCAGGUGCAGCAAUGUCGGGCUGUUCAAACAUGUGUAUUGAGAAUUAGUUAAGAAGUCGUAAGUUAAGAAAAAUUAGGAAGGCUAGGUAACAAACAAGACAAUGGCAACAAUUGUCUCAAGUUAAGAAAUUGAGAAUGAUAUAUACCUUGAGUAUGCUAGGGAACAACAUGCUUGGACCUCUCGACGAGAAUGAGGCGACCCUCGGCGACAACACCCCUUUUCCGACAACGGUCAUGGCAGGUGACACCUUCACCACCGCAUUCCUAGCAUGACACGUGACUGGCAUGAGUUUCCGGAGAAGAAGAAAACGCAUUCAAAUCUGUUUCAGACAACACGACAUGCACUCACCCUUUGUCCCAACUCCAAUAGGAGGCAAUUCGUUGUGCGAUCUCAAAAUCCACCACUACACAGGGCAUAACGCCCCUACACAAAGGCAGGAAGUCGAGGAGGUUAGUAGUGUACUGUGCAAAUAUGAGGCCCUUGGCGCCAGCCAUGGUGGUGAGAUUGAUGGCUAUGGGAAGUGCUUGUCGAGGCGGCAUGCUUCUCGCCGCCACGGGUUGAUAGCAUAGGACGAUUUUACCGGUGACGUUGCUCAAUGCCAGUGACGACUCCGUGUCACAGCUGCGCAGAAGUUGUAAUUCAGUAUAGUUGAUAAAACACUGAAUCGUGGUUACAAAAGUGGACAACUACAACAAAUGCGUCAAGUGAUUACAGAUGCAUAACUACAGAAGUUUUAUUUCAUUACCUCCCGGCAUAAACAAGGUCUUUAAAGUUGCCGCUGAUCACAGAUGCAUUGUUGUGAAGAGAUUGCCCCUGUAUUUCGAAUCAAGCACACAUUAAUAAGUAAUUAAAGGAAUCAGGGAAAGCUGGCUUCAGGGACGAGCUAAAUGUACUUUUUGUUUGUUUCCACGCUCUGAGACGAAUCAAGUUAAUUUGUCAAAAACUAUAAAACCAAUUUUAUAGCCCCGGAUCUAUCAUUUCCUCAGACCAAAUAAAUACUUGGAGAAUGUUUGUUUGUAGCAUGCACGUACCACAAGCUUUUCUUUGUUUCCGAGCGAUAUCAAGGUCGGGAAAGACCGGUCAAUCGUGCUAGCGGCCACCGUUGUAACCCACGGUUGGGCAUUAGCCACCGUUUGUGGCACAGGGCCAUCAUUCCCUCCGGCAAACACGAUAGAGAUCCCUCUUUGCACAGCAUGCAGUGUCCCAGGAAACUCGUGACCAGCCCCAGCAAUCGAGAGCGACAAGACGUCCACACCAUCAUGCAUAGCAUCAUCGAUAGCCGCGAGGACCGCUGCUUCAGGGCAACUCCCACCCAACCAACACACCUUGUAGAUACUGAGGCGCGCACGUGGCGCCCCGCCGCGUGCCACGCCCAUGCCUAGGCCUCCGUAGCUCACGCCCUGCACUUCCCUGCCAGCGAUGGUCGACGCGACGUGUGUGCCAUGGCCUUCAAUGUCCCUAGGCGACUUAUAGUUUCUGUUUAGCACCUCGUCACUGAUUCCACGCCCAUACCACCGCGCACCGAUGAUCUUUUUGUUGCAACUUGUGGCGUUGAAAUCCUGACCAGUCUGGCAUUUCCCUUUCCACCGUGCCGGCACAGGGCCAUACCCAUUGUCAUCAAAGCUUCGUGAUUCAGGCCAUAUGCCUAUAAAUAAGCAUGGGAAUCAAUUGAUUCGGUAUCGGAAUUUCUCAUAUUCAGGAUUUAAGCUUGAGGGGUCGGACUGCAAACCUGUAUCGAUCACACCCACGAUGACAUCUUCACCAUACUUUGCUUUUCUGAGUAGGCCCGGUUGUUGUCUUGGUUGGUUAUGGUCAAGGCCAAGAAAGUCCCAGCUCCGAGUUGUGUGCGUUUCGUGAUAAGUGUUAGGCUUCACAGUGACAACUUCUGGGAAUUCUACAUCAAAAAUAUGUUGAUUAGUUCUUGUCGGUCAUCCAAGUAGAUACGAUGAUAGGUAGGAGCCUAUAGGACUGACAAUCACUUACUUGCGAUUGUCUCAGCCUGAGACUCGGUGAGCAUCGCCGCAAAACCAGAAAAUCCAUGCUUGUAACUGUAAACUAUCGACCUCAAGGCUUCAUCCUUGCUGUUGUCAAGUAAAAUGAGGGUGAGCAAGUCACGACUAAUACGUCGACGAUGCAACAUGAACUCACAUGAACUCCUGAUUGUUUUUGUUUUGAACAAAAUGAAUUGGUAGCUAGUUACAGUACCUCCCAAAAACAGAGGUUAGCAUGUCACGGUGAGACGCGGUGACCAUGGAUGGGUCAUCAUGCUUCUUCUCCCCCAUAUACACGAUGUAGAGCUGAAAUUCAUUUUGUCGCAUAAGUUCUCAACAAAAAACAGAUAUCAGGAAAGAAAGCAAAUUGAGAGAGGACUCGGGUGUGUAUCUUACUUUACUCGACGCGUUAGCUGAAACAGGCAGCAGUAUUACCAGCAGUAGGAGAGCGCCACAGAAUGCUGUUCUGGAAUCCAUAUCUUGCUUGGAGAAGAGUGCUAUGUUGUUGUGUUUGUGUUCCCUCGUUCGGUUUGUAUGUCUAUAUAGCAGCCAGGAGCAAUAAGGAUGGGGUGCAAGAACAGUUCAAACCAAUUUGUUUGAGUGUCUUUUUUCUCAUUUCAGAGGGAAUGUUUCAGUGUUGUUAGUUAGGUGACAGCGACACACACGCGUGAGGAGCAAAGACUAAUCCUUUUGUCUAUAUAGGAAUCCCCGUGCUUUUUGUAAUGAGGAAGAAGCACCAUGCUUUGAUCAGGUCCUGGCGGCUAUUAGUACCAAACCGGAUAUAGAUCUUAAUUAAUUAUAUGCUCUCUCGUGCAAUGACCUGGUCGACUUUCAAACAAGCUUCCACGGCUUUGCACAUGGGUCUUAAUCGUUCCACAUGCGUCUUAAUCGUUCUACAAACGCGGGCGGCGGUAUAGGUAAUACGUAACAAAGUUGACAAACGUGACACAUUCAAAUAUUCCAUGGGCACGUCAAGGAUAUAGACCCGCCAACUUUCCUAUAAUCGCAUGUACUCAAAGAUGUAACUUUGCCUGUUUUCAAAUAAAGUUCCAAGAGACUUUUUCUUCGAAAAAUAAAUUUACAAGGGCAAAGACUGGUUUUGCUGAUCCGUUUCUCCAGCUAUUACAUUAUAUAAAUCCAGUAAUUCGAGCCGACAUAGUGUGAUGUGGUCGCCUCUCUAAGCUCGUCUCAUGGUUUUCAAUUCUUUCACUGAGAAAGCCAACUAACAAGUAUUUAAAGAGAACACACAUUUAUGGAAAACAUAGGCCCGAGAAUGGAUAUUGGGACGUUACAUAGACAUCAUCAAUCAUAUCAUAGUGCACAUAACAAAGCAUGUAAAACCAAGCUCAUGUUCUCCUACUUUUGUAGGCAUGUAUUAGUAUGUAGUUGAACUUGCUUAUUUAUAAGAACAAGAGCUUGCCCGGCAUCUAUAGUCCUACCCUCCCAUGUCACGGUGAUCAUAGUUUAAACAAAGGGUAAUUAAGGCGUCAUUUUGUGAGACAACCGUACCAACACAUUAACACUUCGUGAAUACAUGGAAACAUCAAAUCACAACACUCCCCAUUGAUAUCCCGGUCACCCUCGGGGUCACUUUUGAGGCUAUAAUAGGUACAUAUCACACUUGCAAGUACAAUCCAGACACAUUGGCAUCAUGAAAACUUAUAUGGUUAAUAUAUGAUACCACAUUACUUGGGCCCUAUUAGUAGACAUUAAGCAUAACAAAGUUGUAUCAAAACCCUAUAAUCUUAGCACUACUAUAUGAUUGGCAUCGUCAAAUUCCCAUCCACCUGCCUACAACAGAUUACUUGCAUAUGGAUGGAAGAAACAUGAUGGAGAUGAGAGGAAAAGAGUUGAUGGCGGUGGAACUCCCUCUUAGUGUGCAGAAUCAACCUCUCGACAACCCUCCUAGACGAGGAUUAGCGAUGGUGUCGACCGUCAAGUGUCAGGAUAAUAUGGCAUAAAUUUCGUGGAACUUAGAACGCCAAGAGAAAUUGAUAGCCGGAAGGAGAUGAUGGGAGACAACCUUUGGAUCCCCACGCGGGUGGCUCACACAACCUCCUCCAUAGCCAGCGUGAGGAGUGGGGCAUUAAGGUCAAUGAUACUCAAAUCGGAAGAGACAUAUCGAGGACGAGGUAAGGGUGGGGGAUAAUCCAUCAUUACAAAAGGAAUGUGAAACCGAAUUUUAUUAAACUAAUUUUCAUGUGUAUUAGAUUAUUUUUUUCACCCGCCAAAGAAUCCUAUCUGGAGCAAUAGAAUUAAAAUGGACAUGGGCGCUCAGAACAAUUAAUUGACAAACGCAAAAAUAAGGAUCUUGAAGUUUGGACCCAAGGACAACAAGGCAUAAAAAUUUUGAUAUCACAAAGGAAAUCGUGCAAACUACAAUGUAAAUCUAAAUUAACUUCAAUGUACUAACACGAGCAUUUUGGACAUUAGCAGCCAUUCAUGAAUUCGGUGAUUUUGGCCCAGCUAAGAAAAUUUGAUCGUGUUUAUUUCUUUUCACUUCCAGUUUAGAAACGUUUUCAUCCAGAAAGAAAGGUUCCGGAGAUUUGAUCCGUCGUUCUCCCUUAGUCUAUUUCAUGUCGAUAUGAUCCGUGGUUUUCUCAUUAAUUCAUUUUUCGUAAAAGUUUGUGAAUAAACCUCUCCUUAGCAAAGAAUCGUAUUUUAUUCCAGUAUAACAUUUCCUGUGAUGAUGUACAAAAUUAAAGUGUUUCUUCUACAUUUUCUUAUGCCAACCACACGAAUACAUAAAUUAUGUGUAUAAUACAAAGAAUAUGAGCUUAAGAUGUAUCUGCAACAAAGUCUUGUAUCACAGUCCGUACCGCAAUAGGAAUUCUCACUGAGUGGGUACUUCCGUCUGACCAUGUCAAGCUCCCAAAAGUGUAUCCUCCUUGUACUCUCUGCCUUGUUGUGAAUGUCACCAUAAACGUCACACUUUUACUAGUGCUUUGGGUGAAAUUGAUCACAGAUGGCUCUACGGACACGUCUAUCCCCGCUGGAGCUUCAACCACUAAAUGAUAUGUUGCUUCCGCUGGCCCAAUGUUAGUCACGGUGCGCCGAAGCAUGACACGGUCCUUGAGGUCUGGCACGGCAAUUGACGGAAGGUUGAGAUUGAGGUAGUAGGACUCACAGCCGCCUAAAUAUCCAAGGGUGCAGUUGAAAAACUUGUUGUACCCCCUUGCAUCAACGUCGUAAACCAAGCCAGGGUCAACGGCUCUAUUUGGGUCAAUGUGUCCACCACCAAAGUCGAAGGGGUCGGCUAGUUUCCUUGGGACUGCUUCUGCUUGGAUUGGCAUGCCAAAACGAUCGGUCACAUAUGCUUCAACCAAUGCCAAGGAAUCAUCAAGUUAGUCAUAUAUUCAAAUGAGUUAUUUUGACGUAUUUUGGUUAUUACUUUCCUACCUGUGGUGACGAUGGCCGAUUUGAUCAUGGCAGGUGACCACUGAGGGUGAACCGACUUGAGCAUCGCAGUCACUGCGGAGACAUGUGGGCACGCCAUUGAUGUCCCAGAAUAGAACACGUAGGAGCCGCGCACCGCUGCCAAUAUGUUGACGCCAGGAGCAGUAAUGUCGGGCUGUCAAAACAUUAAUUUUUAUCAUGAAUUAGGUAUGUAAGUCUUUAAUUCUGAAAAACUAGAGAGGCUAGAUAGCAAACAAACAGUGACAAAAAUUCAACUAUUUGCCUUAAGUUGAUAAUGAUAUACACCUUCAGUAUGCCAGGGAACAAUAGGCUUGGAUCUCUGGAGGAGAACGAGGCGACCCUCGGCGACAACACCCCAUUUCCAACAACACUUACAGCCGGAGACACCAUCACCACCGGAUUCCUAGACACAUGACAAACAUGAAUUAGUUCUUGUAUAAGGAGAUGGCAAACUGAGUGUUCAAAUAUUUUCACGCUGCAGUUUCCAACAAUUCGACAAAUUCUCACUCAGUCAUGUCCCAGUAGGAGAAAAUUCGAUGUGCGAUCUCGAAAUCCACCAGAGCGCAAGGCAUAAAUCCCUCGCACCCGACCAGGCUGUCAAGAUUGUUGGCGGUGUAUUGUGCGAAGAUGAGGCCCUUUGCACCGGCCUCAAUAGUGUAAUUGAUGGCAUAAGGGAGUAUUAACUGGGGCGACCACCGCGAUGCCUCUUCUGGUGCAUAACAAAGGACGGUUUUGCCCUUGACAUUGCCCAAGGCCAGUGAUUCCGGGUCGCAGCUGCUCAAAAGUAUUAAAAUUGAACAUGGUUUUGUCCUAAAGCGCGGCAUUUACUAUUAAUCAAAUGUCGUCAAGAGACUGGUUUCUUUCAUUACCUCCCAGCAAAAACAAGGGCCUGAGAGCCGCUGUUAUUCAUAGCUGCAUUGUAAUUUAGAGAUUGCCCCUGCGUUUGAAAUUGAUCACAAAUUAAAGAACAAGCUAACUGAGGAAAGCUACAAGAUACGAUAUAGUUGGUGGAGAACCAGCAAUGAUUUAAGUAAAGCUUCAAGGAGGAGCAAACCAUUUAUUUUCCCCGGGUUGGUUUGAACGUCACUUUCGUGCUCAGAGAGUCAAAAGGUUAUUAUUUAGUAAAAUUGUAGGAAAAAAAUCCAGAUUGACCAAUCCUCCACAUUCAUGCUAUCUUAUAUGAACUAUUUCAGGAUUGGAGCACGUCUUAUCCAAUAACAUUUUUCACCUGUUUUUUUAUCCAUUAUUAAUAUUUUCCAUGGGGUUUUUCAAUCCCUUGAGAAGGGCAAGGUAAUACUUCCCUGUAAUAUUUCUUAAGAGAUGGAAAAUAUAAGAAAUAAUUUACAUACUUUUCUAAAACAAAGGAGUGAAAUUGUUUGGUACGUACCAUCAGCUUUUCUUUGUUCCCAAGCAAUAUUAGGGUCGGAAAAGACCGGUCAAUCGUGCUAGCGGCCACCGUCGUAACCCAUGGCACGGCAUUCGUCACUGUCUGUGGCACAGGGCCAUCAUUCCCUCCGGCGAACACGACGGAGAUCCCUCUUUGCACAGCAUGCAACGUCCCAGAGUACACCUGACCAACCCCUCCAACAGAGAGCGACAAGACGUCAACCCCAUCAUGUAUGGCGUCAUCGAUGGCAGCAAGGACCGCCGCGUCAGGGCAACCCUCAUCCACCCAGCACACCUUGUAGAUACCAAGUCGUCAAUGUGGUGCUCCGCCACGUGCCACGCCCAUGCCUAGGCCUCCAUAGCUCACGCCCUGCACUUCCCCACCGGCGAUAGUUGAGGCGACGUGUGUGCCAUGGCCAUUGAGGUCCCUAGGUGACUUGUAGUCGAUCUUUAGUGACUCGGCACUGAUGCCACGGCCAUACCACCGCGCACCGAUGAUCUUUCUGUUGCAACCAGUGGCGUUGAACUUCUGGCCACUCUGGCAUUUUCCUUUCCACCGUGCCGGCACGGGGCCAUAGCCGUUGUCAUCAAAGCUUCGUGAUUCAGGCCAUAUGCCUAUAAAGAAGCAUUUACAUCCAUGGGGUUAAUUGAUUCCUGGUCUUGGGAUUUCUCAUGUUCGGGGUUUAAACUUAAGGAUGGGAUUACGAACCUGUAUCGAUCACACCCAUAAUGACAUCUUCACCAUACUUUGCUCUUUUGAGGAGCCCCGGUUGUUGUGGCGGUUGAUUAUAGUCAAGGCCAAGGAAAUCCCAGCUCCGAGUUGUGUGCGUUUUGUGAAAAAUAUUAGGCUUCACAGAGACAACUUCAGGAAAUUCUACAUUCAUAUAUGUUGAUUAGUUCAUUUCGAUCAUGCAAGUUGAUAUAAAGAUAGCAAGCUCAUGGCACCUCAGGACUGACAAUUAAUAAUCAUACUCCAAACAAAUAUGGUUGUGUAAAUUGCAAUGAUGAUGCAGAGGCCGGGGGGUUAACCCCGUCUUAUAAAAAAAGGGUUGACAAUUACUUACUUGCGAUUGCCACAGCUUGAGAUUUUGUUAGCAUAGCCGCGAACCCAGAAAAUCCAUGCUUGUAACUGUAAACUAUCGACCUCACGGCUUCAUCCUUGCUGUUUCAAGUAAUAAUAAAACAAAAGGGAGGUGAGCAAAUCACGACUGUUUCCUGCUAACACAUCUAUGAUGCGACAUGAAACUCAUAGCCAGUAGUACCUCCCAAAAACAGAUAUUAGCAUGUCAUGGUGCGACGCGAUGACCACGGACGGGUCAUCAUGUUUCUUCUCCCCCAUAUACACAAUGUAGAGCUGAAAUUUCAACAAGAAAAUGUUCUCAGUAAAAGAUUGGAAAGAAGAUAAGAUAAAUGCUGUGCGAAGAGGAAUCGAGCAUGGAUCUUACUUUGCUCGGCGCGCUGGCUGAAAGAGGCAGCAGCGUCACCAGCAGUAGCAGAGCGCCGCAGAAUGCUGUUCUGGAAUCCAUAUCUGGCUUCGAGAAGAGUGUUCCCUCGAUCGCUUCUCCCUGUGUGUAUAUAUAGCAGCCAGGAACAAGAACAAGCAUGGAGGCACAAGAACAGUUCAGACGAAUUUGUCUGCGAGCUGUUUCCUUCCCUUUUAAGGGAUUGUUUGUGUUGCUACUUGCUAGGUGACACACACGUCCGAAUGGAAGACCAUAUAUAGAUCCUUGUCUGUAUACAAAGCACCGUGCCUUUUCCAUCAGAGAAGAAGCACCGUGCUUUGAUCAGGUCCGCCAGGAUUAAACAGCUAACCGGAUAUAAAUAUUCUGGUGUCUGACGUAAUGACCUUUUUUUCGAAAAGGGGAUUCCCCGGCCUCUGCAUUAGAACGAUGCAUACGGCCAUGUUAAUAACCAAAUAAAGAAGUACCAACAUGAUUCCAAAGGUCUCCAAAAGUAAAAAAAAAAGUACAUAAAGCUCACACAGAGCCAAAUAAAGGCUAGAAACACCAACUAGCCAGGACAAGAUGCCACAACCGGCCGGCUCAAACUAGAUAGGGAAACUAAGUACCUAUCCUAUUACAUGACCGCCAUCCAAACCGGUUGAAGAUAUCCCGAGCUACCAUCUCCCAGCGGAAAGAUCCAGUAACCAAAUGCUCCCUGGCCUCCGUCUGGGUGAGUAGCGACCACGAACGGAUCAGUGCCGUAGUUCGGAAUAUGACCUGCAAAAAAUGUAUACAUGAUAUUCUGUUAAAGACCAAAUCAUUUCUGCAAGUCCAGAUAGUCCACAGCAAAGCACAAACUCCAACCCGAAUAUGUCUCGCUAAACCAGGCUCAAUCCCAUUAAGCCAAGUCCCAAAUAACGCAUUAACAGAAUUCGGUGGAUUGAUAUUAAAAGCAAUGUGGACUGUCUGCCAAAGUACCUUGGCCAACGGGCAAUCAAAAAAGAGGUGUUUGAUAGUCUCAUCCCGAUCGCAGAAACUACACCUAGUAGGUCUUGUUCAAUUACGCUUUUAUCAAGUUGUCCUUAGUUAAAAUAACUUGUUUAUGGACAAACCACAUAAACACUUUUAUUUUCAAAGGAACUUUGACAUCCCAAACAUGCUUAGACGUAGGAAUGGAGUCCGAAUUAAUAACAUCAAUAUACAUUGAUUUAACCGUGAAUACUCCAGACUUAGUCAAUUUCCAACGCAAUUCAUCGGGUUGUUGGGAAAGCUGGACAUCCGUCAGUCUCCUAACUAGACGGAGCCAUUCUUCCCAACGGUUGCCCGCUGGCGUUCGUCGGAACUGGAUAUUAAGGGGGGUAGACUGAAAGACCGAUGCGACGAAUACCUCACGUCGUUGAACAAUGCGGUACAAAGACGGAUAUUGGAUGGCCAGGGGUGUCCCGCCAAGCCAAGUAUCCUCCCAGAAACGUGUACUCGAGCCGUUUCCAAUCACAAACUUCGUCCUAUUAAAUAAGGCCUGUUUGACUUUCAUCAGGCCUUUUCAGAAAGGCGAAUCGGUCGGCCUGACUAUAACCUGGGACAGAGUUUUUGUCUGGAGGUACUUGCUGCGAAGGAUUUGAGCCCACAUAGCAUCAGUCUCCGAUGAGAGCUUCCACAGCCACUGUCUAAGAAGGCAUUUAUUCUUAACUUCUAGAUUCUCAAUACCUAGACCCCCUUGGUCUUUUGGUCUACAGAUGAUAUCCCAUUUAGCAAGCCGAUAUUUUUUUUAAGCUCAUCACCCUGCCAAAAGAAACGCGAUCGAUAGAAGUCCAGUCUCUUCCUAACACCAACUGGGACCUCAAAGAACGAUAGGAGAAACAUUGGCAUGCUCGUGAGCACUGAAUUAAUCAGGAUUAAUCGGCCUCCGUAUGAUAUGAGCUUACCCUUCCAGCAGCUCAGUUUUUUCUCAAAUCGGUCCUCAAUGCACUUCCACUCUCUGUUUGUCAGCCUACGAUGGUGGAUUGGAAUCCCCAGGUAGGAGAAGGGUAACUCUCCCAACUCGCACCCAAACAAUUGCCUAUAAGCAUCCUGUUCAUGUUUGGCCCUACCAAAACAGAACAGCUCGCUCUUAUGAAAGUUAAUCUUUAACCCGGUCAAUUGUUCGAAAAGGCAUAACACAAGCUUCAUAUUACUAGCCUUGGCCAAGUCAUGCUCCAUGAAGAUGAUUGUAUCAUCAGCGUACUGAAGGAUGGAUACACCUCCAUCAAUAAGAUGAGGUACCAAUCCACCUACUUGACCAUUUUCCUUAGCCCUUCCUAUCAAGAUUGCUAAGAUAUCCACCACAAUGUUAAACAAGAUAGGUGACAUCGGAUCUCCUUGUCUGAGGCCUUUAUGUGUCUGGAAGUAAUGACCUAUGUCAUCAUUAACUUUAAUUCCCACACUACCUUUUUGCGCAAAUGAUUCAACAUGUCGGCGCCAGGCCUCAUCAAAACCUUUCAUACACAAUGACUGUUGGAGGAAUGGCCAUUUGACCUUAUCAUACGCUUUCUCAAAAUCCACCUUAAAAAUUACACCAUCUAAUUUUUUGGAAUGGAUUUCAUGAAGUGUUUCAUGCAGGACGACCACCCCUUCAAGGAUAUUUCUGUCCAGCAUGAAAGCGGUUUGGGACUGUUGCACCACAGAAUACGCAAUCUGUGUGAGUCUGUUAGUCCCGACUGAAGGAAAUAUGCCCUAGAGGCAAUAAUAAAGAUAUUAUUUAUUUCCUUAUAUCACGAUAAAUGUUUAUUAUUCAUGCUAGAAUUGUAUUAACCGGAAACAUAAUACAUGUGUGAAUACAUAGACAAACAAAGUGUCACUAGUAUGCCUCUACUUGACUAGCUCGUUAAUCAAAGAUGGUUAUGUUUCCUAACCAUGGACAAAGAGUUGUCAUUUGAUUAACGGGAUCACAUCAUUAGUUGAAUGAUCUGAUUGACAUGACCCAUUCCACUAGCUUAGCACCCGAUCGUUUAGUAUGUUGCUAUUGCUUUCUUCAUGACUUAUACAUGUUCCUAUGACUAUGAGAUUAUGUAACUCCCAUGUGCCGGAGGAACACUUUGUGUGCUACCAAACGUCACAACGUAACUGGGUGAUUAUAAAGGUGCUCUACAGGUGUCUCCAAAGGUACAUGUUGGGUUGACGUAUUUCGAGAUUAGGAUUUGUCACUCCGAUUGUCGGAGAGGUAUCUCUGGGCCCUCUCGGUAAUGCACAUCACUUAAGCCUUGCAAGCAUUACAACUAAUGAGUUAGUUGCGGGAUGAUGCAUUAAGGAACGAGUAAAGAGACUUGCCGAUAACGAGAUUGAAGUAGGUAUUGGAUACCGACAAUUGAAUCUCGGGCAAGUAACAUACCGAUGACAAAGGGAACAACGUAUGUUGUUAUGCGGUCUGACCAAUAAAGAUCUUCGUAGAAUAUGUAGGAGCCAAUAUGGGCAUCCAGGUCCCGCUGUUGGUUAUUGUCCGAAGACGUGUCUCGGUCAUGUCUACAUUGUUCUCGAACCGUAGGGUCCGCACGCUUAAAGUUACGAUGACAGUUUCAUUAUGAGUUUAUGUAUUUUUAUGUACCGAAGGUUGUUCGGAGUUCCGGAUGUGAUCACGGACAUGACGAGGAGUCUCGAAAUGGUCGAGACAUAAAGAUUGAUAUAUUCGGACACCGGAAGUGUUUCGGGGAAGUUUCGGAUAAAACCGGAGAACCGGGGGGUUACCGGAACCCCCUGAGGGGUUAAUGGGCCUCAUGGGCCUAAAGUGGAGAAGAGGAAAGGCAGCCAGGGUAGGCCGCGCGCCCCCUCUCCCCCUAGUCCGAAUUGGACAAGGAGGGAGGGGUGGCGCCCCCCUUUCCUUCCUCUCCUCUCUCGCUUCCUUCCCCCUCUCCUCCUUGGACAAGGAAAGGGAGGGGAGUCCUACUCCCAGUAGGAGUAGGACUCCUCCUGCGCGCCUCCUACUAGGGUCGGCCGCACCCCCCCUUGGCUCCUUUAUAUACGGGGGCAAGGGGGCACCCUAGGACACAGAAGUUGAUCUUCGUGAUCGUUACUUAGCCGUGUGCGGUGCCACCCUCCACGAUAUUACACCUCGAUCGUAUUGUAGCGGUGCUUAGGCGAAGCCCUACGACGGUUAAACAUCAAGAUAGUCACUACGCCGUCGUGCUGACGAAACUCCUCCACCGAAGCUUUGCUGGAUCGGAGCCCCGGGUGCGUCAUCGAGCUGUACGUGUGUUAAGAACUCGGAGGUGCCGGAGUAACGGUGCUUGGAUCGGUUGGACCGGGAAGACGUACGACUACUUCCUCUACGUUGUGUCAACGCUUCCGCGUCGAUCUACAAGGGUACGUAGAUCACACUCUCCCCUCUCAUUGCUAUGCAUCACCAUGAUCUUGCGUGUGCGUAGGAAAUUUUUUGAAAUUACUACGUUACCCAACAGUGGCAUCCGAGCCUAGGUUUUAUGGUUUGAUGUUAUUUGCACGAGUAGAACACAAGUGAGUUGUGGGCGAUAUAAGUCAUACUGCCUACCAACAUGUCAUACUUUGGUUCGGUUGUAUUGUUGGAUGAAGCGGCCCGGACCGACAUUACGCGUACGCUUACGCGAGACUGGUUCUACCGCCGUGCUUUGCACACAGGUGGUUGGCGGGUGUCAGUUUCUCCAACUUUAGUUGAACCAAGUGUGGCUACGCCCGGUCCUUACGAAGGUUAAAACGGCAUCAACUUGACAAACUAUCGUUGUGGUUUUGAUGCGUAGGUAAGAUUGGUUCUUGCUUAAGCCCGUAGCAGCCACGUAAAACUUGCAACAAACAAAGUAGAGGACGUCUAACUUGUUUUUGCAGGGCAUGUUGUGAUGUGAUAUGGUCAAGACAUGAUGCUAAAUUUUAUUGUAUGAAAUGAUCAUGUUUUGUAACCGAGUUAUCGGCAACUGGCAGGAGCCAUAUGGUUGUCGCUUUAUUGUAUGCAAUGCAAUCGCGCUGUAAUGCUUAACUUUAUCACUAAGCGGUAGUGAUAGUCAUGGAAGCAUAAGAUUGGUGAGACGACAACGGUGCUACGAUGGAGAUCAAGGUGUCGCGCCGGUGACGAUGGUGAUCAUGACGAUGCUUCGGAGAUGGAGAUCACAGGCACAAGAUGAUGAUGGCCAUAUCAUAUCACUUAUAUUGAUUGCAUGUGAUGUUUAUCUUUUAUGCAUCUUAUCUUGCUUUGAUUGACGGUAGCAUUAUAAGAUGAUCUCUCACUAAAUUAUCAAGAAGUGUUCUCCCUGAGUAUGCACCGUUGCGAAAGUUCUUCGUGCUGAGACACCACGUGAUGAUCGGGUGUGAUAGGCUCUACGUUCAAAUACAACGGGUGCAAAACAGUUGCACACGCGGAAUACUCGGAUUAUACUUGACGAGCCAAGCAUAUACAGAUAUGGCCUCGGAACACGGAGACCGAAAGGUCGAGCGUGAAUCAUAUAGUAGAUAUGAUCAACAUAGUGAUGUUCACGAAUGAAACUAGUCCAUCUCAUGUGAUGAUCGGACAUGGUUUAGUUGAUUUGGAUCACGUGAUCACUUAGACGGACUGGGUCCGUAACUUGAGGAUUAUCCUCAUUGCUGCACAGAAGAAUUACGUCCUGGAAGCACCGCUAGAUGCCAGGCCUACUGCUGGAGCAACACCAGAUGUUAUGAACGUCUGGCAGAGCAAAGCUGAUGACUACUUGAUAGUUUAGUGUGCCAUGCUUUACGGCUUAGAAUCGGGACUUCAACGACGUUUUGAACGUCAUGGAGCAUAUGAGAUGUUCCAGGAAUUGAAGUUAAUAUUUCAAGCAAAUGCCCGAAUUGAGAGAUAUGAAGUCUCCAAUAAGUUCUGUAGCUGCAAGAUGGAGGAGAACAGUUCUGUCAGUGAGCAUAUACUCAAAAUGUCUGGGUAUAAUAAUCACUUGAUUCAGAUGGGAGUUAAUCUUCCAGAUGAUUGCGUCAUUGACAGAAUUCUCCAAUCACUGCCACCAAGCUACAAGAGCUUCGUGAUGAACUAUAAUAUGCAAGGGAUGAAUAAGACUAUUCCCGAGCUCUUCGCAAUGCUGAAAGCUGCGAAGGUAGAAAUCAAAAAGGAGCAUCAAGUGUUGAUGGUCAACAAGACCACUAGUUUCAAGAAAAAAGGCAAAGCGAAGAAGAAGGGGAACUUCAAGAAGAACAGCAAGCAAGUUGCUGCUCAAGAGAAGAAACCCAAGUCUGGACAUAAGCCUGAAACUGAGUGCUUCUACUGCAAGCAGACUGGUCACUGGAAGCGGAACUGCCCCAAGUAUUUGGCGGAUAAGAAGGAUGGCAAGGUGAACAAAGGUAUAUGUGAUAUACAAGUUAUUGAUGUGUACCUUACUAAUGCUCGCAGUAGCACCUGGGUAUUUGAUACUGGUUCUAUUGCUAAUAUUUGCAACUCGAAACAGGGACUACGGAUUAAGAGAAGAUUGGCUAAGGACGAGGUGACGAUGCGCGUGGGAAACGGUUCCAAAGUUGAUGUGAUCGCGGUCGGCACGCUACCUCUACAUCUACCUUCAGGAUUAGUAUUAGACCUGAAUAAUUGUUAUUUGGUGCCAGCGUUGAGCAUGAACAUUAUAUCUGGAUCUUGUUUAAUGCGAGACGGUUAUUCAUUUAAAUCAGAGAAUAAUGGUUGUUCUAUUUAUAUGAGUAAUAUCUUUUAUGGUCAUGCACCCUUGAAGAGUGGUCUAUUCUUAUUGAAUCUCGAUAGUAGUGACACACAUAUUCAUAAUGUUGAAGCCAAAAAAUGCAGAGUUGAUAAUGAUGGUGCAACUUAUUUGUGGCACUGCCGUUUAGGUCAUAUCGGUGUAAAGCGCAUGAAGAAACUCCAUACUGACGGACUUUUGGAACCACUUGAUUAUGAAUCACUUGGUACUUGCGAACCGUGCCUCAUGGGCAAGAUGACUAAAACACCGUUCUCCGGUACUAUGGAGAGAGCAACAGAUUUGUUGGAAAUCAUACAUACAGAUGUAUGUGGUCCGAUGAAUAUUGAGGCUCGUGGCGGAUAUCGUUAUUUUCUCACCUUCACAGAUGACUUAAGCAAAUAUGGGUAUGUCUACUUAAUGAAACAUAAGUCUAAAACAUUUGAAAAGUUCAAAGAAUUUCAGAGUGAAGUUGAAAAUCAUCGUAACAAGAAAAUAAAGUUUCUACGAUCUGAUCGUGGAGGAGAAUAUUUGAGUUAUGAGUUUGGUGUACAUUUGAAACAAUGCGGAAUAGUUUCGCAACUCACGCCACCCGGAACACCACAACGUAAUGGUGUGUCCGAACGUCGUAACCAUACUUUACUAGAUAUGGUGCGAUCUAUGAUGUCUCUUACUGAUUUACCGCUAUCGUUUUGGGGUUAUGCUUUAGAGACGGCCGCAUUCACGUUAUAUAGGGCACCAUCAAAAUCCGUUGAGACGACGCCUUAUGAACUAUGGUUUGGCAAGAAACCAAAGUUGUCGUUUCUGAAAGUUUGGGGCUGCGAUGCUUAUGUGAAAAAGCUUCAACCUGAUAAGCUCGAACCCAAAUCAGAGAAAUGUGUCUUCAUAGGAUAUCCAAAGGAAACUAUUGGAUACACCUUCUAUCACAGAUCCGAAGGCAAGACUUUUGUUGCUAAAUUGGGAAACUUUCUAGAGAAGGAGUUUCUCUCGAAAGAUGUGAGUGGGAGGAAAGUAGAACUUGAUGAGGUAACUGUACCUGCUCCCUUAUCGGAAAGUAGUACAUCACAGAAAACUAUUUCUGCGACACCUACACCAAUUAGUGAGGAAGCUAAUGAUAAUGAUCAUGAAACUUCAGGACAAGAUACUACUGAACCUCGUAGAUCAACCAGAGUGAGAUCCGCGCCAGAGUGGUACGGUAAUCCUGUUCUGGAAAUCACGCUGCUAGAUCAUGAUGAACCUACGAACUAUGAAGAAGCGAUGGUGAGCCCAGAUUCCGCAAAAUGGCUUGAAGCCAUGAAAUCCGAGAUGGGAUCCAUGUAUGAGAACAAAGUAUGGACUUUGGUUGACUUGCCCGAUGAUCGGCAAGCAAUUGAGAAUAAAUGGAUCUUCAAGAAGAAGACUGACGCUGACGGUAAUAUUACUGUCUACAAAGCUCGACUUGUCGCAAAAGGUUUUCGAUAAGUUCAAGGGGUUGACUACGAUGAGACCUUCUCACCCGUAGCGAUGCUUAAGUCUGUCCAAAUCAUGUUAGCAAUUGCCGCAUUUUAUGAUUAUGAGAUUUGGCAGAUGGAUGUCAAAACUGCAUUCCUGAAUGGAUUUCUGGAAAAAGAGUUGUAUAUGAUGCAACCGGAAGGUUUUGUCGAUCCAAAGGGAGCUAACAAAGUGUGCAAGCUCCAGCGAUCCAUUUAUGGACUGGUGCAAGCCUCUCGGAGUUGGAAUAAACGCUUUGAUAGUGUGAUCAAAGCAUUUGGUUUUAUACAGACUUUCGGAGAAGCCUGUAUUUACAAGAAAGUGAGUGGGAGCUCUGUAGCAUUUCUGAUAUUAUAUGUAGAUGACAUAUUACUGAUUGGAAAUGAUAUAGAAUUUCUGGAUAGCAUAAAGGGAUACUUGAAUAAGAGUUUUUCAAUGAAAGACCUCGGUGAAGCUGCUUACAUAUUAGGAAUAAAGAUCUAUAGAGAUAGAUCAAGACGCUUAAUUGGACUUUCACAAAGCACAUACCUUGACAAGAUUUUGAAGAAGUUCAAAAUGGAUCAAGCAAAGAAAGGGUUCUUGCCUGUGUUACAAGGUGUGAAGUCGAGUCAGACUCAAUGCCCGACCACUGCAGAAGAUAGAGAGAAAAUGAAAGAUGUUCCCUAUGCUUCAGCCAUAGGCUCUAUCAUGUAUGCAAUGCUGUGUACCAGACCUGAUGUGUGCCUUGCUAUAAGUUUAGCAGGGAGGUACCAAAGUAAUCCAGGAGUGGAUCACUGGACAGCGGUCAAGAACAUCCUGAAAUACCUGAAAAGGACUAAGGAUAUGUUUCUCGUAUAUGGAGGUGACAAAGAGCUCAUCGUAAACGGUUACGUUGAUGCAAGCUUUGACACUGAUCCGGACGAUUCUAAAUCGCAAACCGGAUACGUGUUUACAUUAAACGGUGGAGCUGUUAGUUGGUGCAGUUCUAAACAAAGCGUCGUGUCGAAAGCAGCAAACGAAGGAGUCUGGAUGAAGGAGUUCAUAUCCGAUAUAGGUGUCAUACCUAGUGCAUCGGGUCCAAUGAAAAUCUUUUGUGACAAUACUGGUGCAAUUGCCUUGGCAAAGGAAUCCAGAUUUCACAAAAGAACCAAGCACAUCAAGAGACGCUUCAAUUCCAUCCGGGAUCUAGUCCAGGUGGGAGACAUAGAGAUUUGCAAGAUACAUACGGAUCUGAAUGUGGCAGACCCGUUGACUAAGCCUCUUCCACGAGCAAAACAUGAUCAGCACCAAGGCUCCAUAGGUGUUAGAAUCAUUACUGUGUAAUCUAGAUUAUUGACUCUAGUGCAAGUGGGAGACUGAAGGAAAUAUGCCCUAGAGGCAAUAAUAAAGAUAUUAUUUAUUUCCUUAUAUCAUGAUAAAUGUUUAUUAUUCAUGCUAGAAUUGUAUUAACCGGAAAGAUAAUACAUGUGUGAACACAUAGACAAACAAAGUGUCACUAGUAUGCCUCUACUUGACUAGCUCGUUAAUCAAAGAUGGUUAUAUUUCCUAACCAUGGACAAAGAGUUGUCAUUUGAUUAACGGGAUCACAUCAUUAGUUGAAUGAUCUGAUUGACAUGACCCAUUCCACUAGCUUAGCACCCGAUCGUUUAGUAUGUUGCUAUUGCUUUCUUCAUGACUUAUACAUGUUCCUAUGACUAUGAGAUUAUGUAACUCCCGUGUGCCGGAGGAACACUUUGUGUGCUACCAAACGUCACAACGUAACUGGGUGAUUAUAAAGGUGCUCUACAGGUGUCUCCAAAGGUACAUGUUGGGUUGACGUAUUUCGAGAUUAGGAUUUGUCACUCCGAUCGUCGGAGAGGUAUCUCUAGGCCCUCUCGGUAAUGCACAUCACUUAAGCCUUGCAAGCAUUGCAACUAAUGAGUUAGUUGCGGGAUGAUGCAUUAAGGAACGAGUAAAGAGACUUGCCAGUAACGAGAUUGAACUAGGUAUUGGAUACCGACAAUCGAAUCUCGGGCAAGUAACAUACCGAUGACAAAGGGAACAACGUAUGUUGUUAUGCGGUCUGACCAAUAAAGAUCUUCGUAGAAUAUGUAGGAGCCAAUAUGGGCAUCCAGGUCCCGCUGUUGGUUAUUGACCGGAGACGUGUCUCGGUCAUGUCUACAUUGUUCUCGAACCGUAGGGUCCGCACGCUUAAAGUUACGAUGACAGUUUCAUUAUGAGUUUAUGCAUUUUGAUGUACCGAAGGUUGUUCGGAGUCCCGGAUGUGAUCACGGACAUGACGAGGAGUCUCGAAAUGGUCGAGACAUAAAGAUUGAUAUAUUCGGACACCAGAAGUGUUUCGGGGAAGUUUCGGAUAAAACCGGAGAACCGGGGGGUUACCGGAACCCCCCGGGGGUUAAUGGGCCUCAUGGGCCUAAAGUGGAGAAGAGGAAAGGCAGCCAGGGCAGGCCGCGCGCCCCCUCUCCCCCUAGUCCGAAUUGGACAAGGAGGGAGGGGCGGCGCCCCCCUUUCCUUCCUCUCCUCUCUCCCUUCCUUCCCCCUCUCCUACUUGGACAAGGAAAGGGAGGGGAGUCCUACUCCGAGUAGGAGUAGGACUCCUCCUGCGCGCCUCCUACUAGGGCCGGCCGCACCCCCCCCUUGGCUCCUUUAUAUACGGGGGCAAGGGGGCACCCUAGGACACAGAAGUUGAUCUUCGUGAUCGUUACUUAGCCGUGUGCGGUGCCCCCCUCCACGAUAUUACACCUCGAUCGUAUUGUAGCGGUGCUUAGGCGAAGCCCUACGACGGUUAAACAUCAAGAUAGUCACCACGCCGUCGUGCUGACGAAACUUCUCCACCGAAGCUUUGCUGGAUCGGAGCCCCGGGUGCGUCAUCGAGCUGUACGUGUGUCAAGAACUUGGAGGUGCCGGAGUAACGGUGCUUGGAUCGGUUGGACCGGGAAGACGUACGACUACUUCCUCUACGUUGCGUCAACGCUUCCGCGUCGAUCUACAAGGGUACGUAGAUCACACUCUCCCCUCUCGUUGCUAUGCAUCACCAUGAUCUUGCAUGUGCGUAGGAAUUUUUGUUAAAUUACUACAUUACCCAACACCGACCUUGGUGAAAAUUUUGAAACUAACAUUGAGGAGACAGAUCGGCCUGAAUUGCUCAAUUCUCACAGCAUCCGUCUUUUUAGGAAGCAGUGUGAUAGUCCCAAAAUUCAAGUGAAAUAAUUGAAGCUGUCCGAAAAACAGAUCAUGGAACAUAGGUGGUAAAUCCCCCUUAAUAAUGUGCCAGCACUUUUUAUAGAACUCUGCCGGGAAUCCAUCGGUCCGGGAGCCUUGUUGUUUUUCAUCUGUGCAAUACCAUCAAAAACCUCCUUCUCCGAAAACAGGGCAACCAGAAUAUCAUUAUCAGCAGCUGAUAGCUGAGGUACGUUCUCAGUCCUGGACUCAUCGAGGGACACACAAUUAUCCUCCGGAGGUCCAAAUAACUGCUUAUAAUAGUCGGUAAUAUAUGUUUUUAGGUUAUCCUGACCUAAAAUAGUGCCCUCGUCUUGCUCAAGCUGAAAGAUACGCUUCUUUUUGUGCUUGCCAUUAGCUAUCAAAUGGAAGAACUGAGUGUUCGCAUCCCCUUGGACCACUUUGCGGACUUUGGCACGCAAAGCCCACUUCAAUUCUUGUUCGCGAAACAGUUCUUUCAGCCUCUUCUCCGCCUCAUUUCUAGCCUGAAGCUGAGCUGGCGACAAGAUAUUGACUUCGGCCUAUAUGUCCAGGGCCUGUAUAAGAGUAAGGAGUCUAUCCUUUUCAAUCUUAUACACACCACUGAGGUUCUUAGCCCAACCCCGUAAGAAACUUCUUAAAUGCCUAAUCUUAUUCUGCCAACGCUCUAUCGCAUUCUUGCCUCCUACACCUCUAUCCCAUUCCCUGGCGAUCAAGUCCAAGAACCCCUCACAUUCAAACCAACACAUCUCGAAGGAGAAGGUAUUCUUGUUACCCUCAUGGUUCGGCUCCCCUGAGUCCACGAACAAUGGGGUGUGAUCAGAUAUUCCCCUCGAAAGAGCUUGCACCGUAACCAUAGGGAACUUUUGUUCCCACUCCACGCUCGCAAGUACUCGAUCAAGUUUUUCAUAGGUUGGGUUUGGUAGAGCAUUAGCCCAGGUGAACUUUCUCCCAGAAAGCUCUAUCUCUCUCAGAUCCAAGCUUUCAAUAAUGGUGUUGAACAUAAACGACCAUCUGCCAUCAAAGUUAUCAUUGUUCUUCUCCUCUCUCCUCCUGAUGAUAUUGAAAUCACCUCCAACUAAAAUUGGAAGCUGUUCUGACCCACAGAUUCGAACAAGGUACGCCAGAAACUCCGCUUUAAGUUCAGGCUGUGAGGCACCAUAAACCGCCACCAAAGCCCAGUUAAAACCAUCUACCCUAGACCUGACUCGAAACUUGACCACGAAGUCUCCCAUCACGACACUUCGGACUUCAAGCGAAUCGCAUCUCACACCUAGUAAGAUACCACCCGAUCUUCCUCGCGAAGGGAGGCAAUGCCAAUCGAAAUCAAUACCACCCACAAGAGAAGAGAGAAACUGGGGCGCAAAGUUUUCUCUACCCGUCUCUGAUAGAGCAACAAAAUCUAACCUCUGCUCUAGAGCUGCCUCAGCUAGGAAUCUUCUUUUAGCCAAGUCCUUCAGACCUCUGCUAUUCCAAAAAAUUCCACUCAUAGUUCAUCAUGGAAUUUUUUACUAACUCGAAUCCUAGCACUCCUAUGAACUACGGAAUCUGGAUAGAUCUUCCGUUUCCACUUACGCUUAGGUUUACUAGGCUCAGUCACCCGGUCCUCAUAACCGGGUUCACAUAUAUUGCUAGCCUCAUUCUCUAGGGGUACAUCAUCUUCCUCAGAGUCAUGAUUGGGGCGUGCUAGAUCCGCACACAGAUUAUCGAGCACUCUAACCCCUAACGCAUCAAUCUCAUCAUCAUUCAUGACGUAAUGACCUGAUCAUCGUCUUUCAAACAAUUUUCCGCGAUAAGUUGGGCAUGAAACAGGAUGGGCCGCUUUGAUGCCAGGACAAUCAUUUUAGGUUUUUUAGGCUUAUGCCCUUGGUUGGUUCCCACUACUCUUAGAUUUCGGACCUACACAGUUUUACCCUUGUUUCAAUAUAAAACCAUUUUUUAUUUUCGAUUUGAACUCAAUUUCAUCAAUUCUGAAGUUGCUACCCACGUGUGUGAUGUGGUCUGUUAGACCAUUGCUUAGGGCAUCUCCAAUGCAGACUCCUACUCCGGCCUCAAAUGUCUGGAACGGAUGGUUCAGACACUUUAGGCCUCCAAUGUGGACUCCUACUUUGGGCCGGACACGUCCAAAAUCACUCAGUCCGUCCACAAAUCGAGAGGCGGGGUUGGGGAGUCUAGGCGUCAUCAUGCCCCAUUACUACAUCUUCACCCAGCAACCACCUCCUUGACCCCUCCUUUUUUUCCAGACGUCCCCCCUCCCCCUCCACUCUCUGUCCCCGUUCCUGGAGGCCAACGCCAACGCCACCACCCCCACCCCACCCCCAUGCCACCUGGUCCUUGCCGUUGCAAUCAUUCGAGCAGAAGGAAUCGCUCCAUAAGGCCAUAAAUCACCUAAGUUGCGGUUGUCUUCCUCGCCUCCGGUCGAGCAUCGCCAUGGUUAGGUCCCAGCGCCCCUCUGUCCAUCUUAGCAAUCCCCAGGAGCUUCCAAAGACGGUGCUGCAAAAUAAUGUAUACAAACUAUAUAACUUGGCUACGAACAAUAGGCCAUCCCUCCAUUUGUCUCCUAUAAGCAGUUCCAACAAUGUAUUAAUGGUGACAGCAGGGUUACAAAUUUGUAAUUCCUCUCGAAUAGCCUCCUACAUCCGAUCGCUGGAGCGAAGGAAUGUUCAUGGGCUUAUUCUAUUCAGCCUCAGCGCUUCUGAACAGUGGCAACACCAACGAGCAUAAGCUAAACUAUAUGUAGCUCAUAACUUCAGGUAGUAGUUGAUAGCAAAAGAAUUUUCCAGGCAAUAACUGAGAUUGCACUGUAUUUUCUUCCGAUCCCAAAUAGAGGUAUGUCGAGAGAUUACUGCAUCUCUUUUGUUCUCUUGUCGAGGCCAGCAUAUCCUUUUUCUGAAACUAAUUCUAGCAUAUCUCCUGGGAAACUGCAGCAGUGAACACACACUGUAAGAAAUCUCUUCUAAACAUUUCCGUUUGAUGUGUAUGACCAGUACUCGUUGACCAGCUCACGGAAGAGAGAUCCCUCAGUUUCCAUGAGCUUCAUGGGCUUGUCAUACUCCACUACUUUCCCUGGAAAUGUAUGCAGAUCAGUAGUAUGGAAUACUAUGCUGCGGAACCAAUAAGUUGCAGAAUUAGUAAGUUGGCAAUAAGAGAAACCAAUAGGUUGCGGAACCAAUAAGUUGUCAUACUCCGCUAGUUUCCCACAUUAGUAUGGAAUACUAUGUUGAAGAACCAAUAAGUUGGCAAUAAGAGGAACAUACAUACCAUCACUUAUUGCAAGUACCAUGUCACAGCCCAUAACUGUUGGUAUACGGUGUGCGACAGUAAUAACGGUGCAAUGUUUGGAUUCUGACUGGAUCGUUUUCUGAAGGACGGCAUCAGUUGCAUUAUCUAUAGAGGCCGUGGCUUCAUCAAGAACUAAGAUCCUGCACCUUUUCAAAAGUGUGCGGCCCAAGAAAAAGAGCUUCCUAUGGCUCAUGCUCCAGUUUGACCCGUCUUCCGCAACUGUAUGGAAAGAUAUAGAUCAGUACUAUGAAGAACACAAUUCCAGACAUCAUGCAAGCAAACUGAUCCGACUCAUACGCCUAGUACUACAAGCAGUUUGACAGAUUUAUUGGCGCAUGUAUUCUAAUUGGUUAGGGGCAUAAAAUCAAAAGACUGAAGCAGAAUUGUAAUAUGCUAUCCUAUUUUGUUAGGGGCAUAAAAUGAAAUCCAGAAAUCAAAUCAUAGGUACAGUGAGGUUUCCUACCAAGUGAAUCCAAUCCCUGUUCCUUCUCCCGGACAGCUUCAAGAAGUUGGCAUUUGUCAAGAACCUGCAAUGUCAGCCAACGGGAAUUGUGAAACGUAAAAAGUAGACAAACUUUACCUCCUGGGUGAAAAUAGCAGCAUAUCAUUUGGUGAAUGAAAUAACCAAAGAAAGGGGGUUUAGGAGUUUAGCCAUACAGAAAAAGGCCACAAGAUUACCUGUAACCGAAUUGCCAAAACUAUCAUUGGCAAUGGUACAAACAGAACUUUCCAUGUAACAACAGCCAAUACCCCCAUAUUGCUAUAUGCAUUUAAGCUGGAACUAAAGCCAAACAUCAAUGCAAAUGGAACAUCAAGGUCAAUGAUGCUUAAAUCUGAAGAGACCUGCAGGUUGGGGGGAGGGUUGAUCUAUUAAUAUAAAACCUUGUAACGUUAAACUGAAUUGUAGUUCAUAUAGUUGUGUUUGUUUGAGAAUUUUUACCCGGCUAAGAACCAUGCCUAGAGGAGUAGAAUCAAAGACGGACAUUGGUGCACGGAACAAUGAAUUAAGUAGCUGGGAAAAUAAGGAUCUUGAAGUCUGCAUCCCAAGAACAACGAGGAAUAUAGAUCUUGAUAGCACAAAGAACACCGUGCAAACUCCAAUAACAAUGUACACAGAAAUUAACUUUAGUGCACUAACAUCAGGAUUUUGGACAUUAGCGGCCAUCCAUGAAUUCUGUGAUAUUUGCCCAGCUAUGAAAAUUAUGUGAGACAUGACAGAAAGGGAGGCAUACAGGAAGCCUUUUUUCUGGCGCAGGUAUAGGAUAUAAGGCUUAAGACCUGCGUCCCCUGAUUCUCUUUCCUCUGUUUUGAUCAGUUGAUCUACUGGUGAUGGCUUCACAGACUCUAUAUAUCUGUUUCCAUGAAUACCAUCUGUCUCCUUUAUUGGCAAAUCCUUUGCUCUGUGAUGGGCCAUAUUGUUAAGAUCUGAAACACCAGUAGUAUCUUUAUGGUCAUUUACAAGAUAUUUAAAUUCUUGGCAAUCUAACAAUAAAUCAUGAUAAGACGCAGAUCGAAUAACCACCCCAUCUGACAUUAACUGCCAAAAAUUAUCACUAGUUUUAGACGAAAUCGACAAAUAUAAAUACGUGCAUGCUACGGGAAUCACAAACUUUAGAACAAGUAUUUCUCAAAUUCACAACUACUCAACUAGCAUGACUCCAAUAUCACCAUCUUCAUAUCUCAAAACAAUCAUCAAGUAUCAAAUUUCUCAUAGUAUUCAAUGCACUUUUUAUGAUAGUUUUUAUUAUAACUAUCUUGGAUGCCUAUCAUAUUAGGAAUAAUUUUAUAGCCAAAGCAAAUUACCAUGCAGUUCUAAAAGACUCUCAAAAUGAUAUAAGUCAAGCAUGAGAGAUCAAUAAUUUCUAUAAAAUAAAACCACCACCGUGUUCUUAAAGAUAUAAGUGAAGCACUAGAGCAAAAUUAUCUAGCUCAAAAGAUAAAAGUGAAGCACAUAGAGUAUUCUAAUAAAUUCUGAUUUAUGUGUGUCUCUCCAAAAGGUGUGUACAGCAAGGAUGAUUGUGGUAAACUAAAAAGCAAAGACUCAAAUCAUACAAGACGCUCCAAGCAAAACACAUAUCAUGUGGUUAAUAAAAAUAUAGCCUCAAGUAAAGUUACCGAUAGACGAAGACGAAAGAGGGGAUGCCUUCCAGGGCAUCUCCAAGCUUAGGCUUUUGGUUUUCCUUGAAUUUUACCUUGGGUGCAUUGGGAAUCCCCAAGCUUAGGCUCUUGCCACUCCUUGUUUCAAAAUCCAUCAAAUCUUUAUCCAAAACUUGAAAACUUCACAACACAAAACUCAACAGAAAAUCUCAUGAGCUCUGUUAGUAUAGGAAAACAAACCACCACUUCAAGGUACUAUAAUGAACUCAUUCUUUAUUUAUAUUGGUGUUAAACCUACUGUAUUCCAACUUCUCUAUGGUUCAUACCCCCCGAUACUAGCCAUAGAUUCAUCAAAAUAAGCAAACAACACACAAAAAACAGAAUCUGUCAAAAACAGGACAGUGUGUAGUAAUCUGUAGGUUUCGAAUACUUCUGUAACCCCAAAUAUUCUGAAAUAAAUUGGUGGACGUGAGGAAUUUGUCUAUUAAUCAUCUGCAAAAAGAAUCAACGUAAUCGCACUGUCCAAUAAAAAUCGCAGCAAAUCUCGUGAGCGCUAAAGUUUCUGUUUUUUACAGCAAGAUCGCAAAAACUUCCCCCAGGUCUUCCCAAAGGUUCUACUUGGCACAAACACUAAUUAAAAGCAUAAAACCACAUCUAAAUAGAAGCUAGAUGAAUUAUUUAUUACUAAACAGAAUCAAAAAGCAAGAAACAAAAAUAAAAUUGGGUUGCCUCCCAACAAGCGCUAUCGUUUAACGCCCCUAGCUAGGCAUAAAAACAAGAAUAGAUCUAGGUAUUGUUAUCUUUGGUAUGCAAUCCAUAAGUGACUCUCAUAAUAGAUUCAUAAGGUAAUUUAAUUUUCUUUCUAGGAAACUGUUCCAUGCCUUUCCUUAACGGAAAUUGGAAUCUAAUGUUUCCUUCUUUCAUAUCAAUAAUUGCACCAAUCAUUCUAAGAAAAGGUCUACCAAGAAUAAUAGGACAUGUAGGAUUGCAAUCUAUAUCAAGAGCAAUGAAAUUUACGGGCACAUAAUUCCUAUUUGCAACAAUAAGAACAUCAUUAAUCCUUCCCAUAGGUUUCUUAAUAGUGGAAUCCGCAAGGUGCAAAUUUAAAGAACAAUCAUCAAAUUCACGGAAACCUAACACAUCACACAAAGUUUUUGGAAUCGUGGAAACACUAGCACCUAAAUCACAUAAAGCAUAUCAUUCAGGAUCUUUAAUUUUAAUUUUAAUAGUAGGUUACCACUCAUCAUAAAGUUUUCUAGGGAUAAAAACUUCUAAUUCAAGCUUUUCUUCAUAAGAUUUCAUUAAAGCAUCAACGAUAUGUUUGGUAAAAGCUUUAUUUUGAUCAUAAGCAUGAGGAGAAUUUCACACGGAUUGCAACAAGGAAAUACAAUCUAUCAAAGAGGAAUUAUCAUAAUUAAAUUCCUUGAUCCAAAAUAGUGGGUUCAUUGAUAUGUAAAGUUUUGACCUCUUUAAUCCCACUUUUACCAAAUUUUGCAUCAAGAUCUAAAAACUCUAAAUCAUUGGGACGCCUUUUAGCUAAAGUUGACUCAUCUCCAGUCCCAUCAUUAUCAAGAUUCAUAUUGCAAAACAAAGAUUUAAUAGGAGACACAUCAAUCACUUUUAGAUCUUCAUCCUUAUUAUCAUGAAAACAAGAAGAACACACUUUUAUAAGGCAAUCCUUUUUAGCACGCAUCCUAGCGGUUCUUUCUUUGCACUCAUCAAUGGAAAUUCUUAUGGCUUUGAGAGACUCAUUGAUAUCAUGUUUAGGUGGAAUAGAUCUAAGUUUCAAAGAAUCAACAUCAAGAGAAAUUAUAUCCACGUUCCUAGCCAACUCAUCAAUCUUAGGCAAUUUUUCUUCAAGAAAAGCAUUGAAAUUCUUUUGCGAAAUCAUAAAUUCUUUAACACUAGUCUCAAAAUCAGAGGGCAUCUUAUUAAAAUUUCCAUAAGAGUUGUUGUAGGAAUUACCAUAAUUAUUAGAGGAAUUACUAGGAAACGGCCUAGGAUUAAAGUUUCCUCUAUAAGCAUUGUUACCAAAAUUGUUCCUACCAACAAAAUUCACAUCCAUAGAUUCAUUAUUAUUCUCAAUCAAAGUAGACAAAGGCAUAUCAUUAGGAUCAGAAGAAACACUCUUAUUAGCAAAUAAUUUCAUAAGUUCAUCCAUCUUUCCACUCAAAACAUUAAUUUCUUCUAUAGCAUGAACCUUUUUAGUAGUAGAUCUUUUGGUGUGCCAUUGAGAAUAAUUAACCAUAAUAUUAUCUAGGAGUUUGGUAGCUUAUACUAAAGUGAUUUCCAUAAAAGUGCCUCCUGCGGCCGAAUCUAAAAGAUUUCUAGAAGCAAAAUUCAAUCCGGCAUAAAAAAAUUGUAUGAUCUUCCAUAUAUUUAAUCCAUGAGUAGGGCAAUUACGUACGAUUAAUUUCAUCCUCUCCCAAGAUUGUGCAACAUGCUCAUGAUCAAGUUGCUUAAAAUUCAUGAUAUCGUUUCUAAGAGAGAUGAUCUUAGCGGGAGGAAAAUACUUAGAGAUAAAAGCAUCUUUACACUUAUUCCAUGAAUAAUUACUAUUUUUAGGAAAAGACGAAAACCAAGUUUUAGCAUGAUCUCUAAGCGAAAACAGAAAUAGCUUCAAUUUAACAAUAUCAUUAUCCAUAUAUUUCUUCUUUUGCAUAUCACAUAAAUCAACAAAGCUGUUUAUAUGGGUAGCGGCAUCUUCACUAGGAAGACUAGAAAACGGAUCUUUCAUGACAAGAUUCAGCAAAACAGUAUUAAUUUCACAAGAUUCAACAUCGGUAAGAGGAGCAAUCGGAGUGCUAAUAAAAUUAUUAUUGUUGGUAUUGGAGAAGUCACACAAUUUAGUAUCAUCUUGAGCCAUCAUGACAAACAAUCAAUCCAACACACAAGCAAACAAGAGGCAAACAAAAAGAGACGAACUGAAAAGAGGGCGAAUAAAACGGUAAGGGUGAAGUGGGGGAGAGGAAAAUGAGAGACAAAUGGCAAGUAAUGUAAUGCGAGGGAUAAGAGUUUGUGAUGGGUACUUGAUAUGUCUUGACUUGUGCAUAGAUCUCCCCGACAACGGUGCCAGAAAUGGCUUGUUGCGAGAGAUCAAAUCUUGACUUGACUUGGUGCAACCUCCCCGGCAACGGCGCCAGAAAUCCUUCUUGCUACCUCUUGAGCUUGCGUUAGUUUUCCCUUGAAGAGGAAAGAGUGAUGCAGCAUAGUAGCGUAAGUAUUUCCCUCAGUUUUUGAGAACCAAGGUAUCAAUCCAGUAGGAAAUUAUACGCAAGUCGCCUAGUACCUGCACAAACAAACAAGAACCUCGCAACCAACGCGAUAAAGUGGUUUUCAAUCCCUUCACGGCCACUUACGAAAGUGAGAUCUGAUAAAAAUAAUAAGAUCAAUAUUUUUGGUAUUUUUGUUGUAUAGAUUGGAAAAUAAAGAUCGCAAAAUAGAAAUAGCAAGUUGAUAGGAAAAUAAUAUGAUGGAAGAUAGACCCGGGGCCAUAGGUUUCACUAGUGGCUUCUCUCAAGAUAGCAAAUUCUAUGGUGGGUGAACAAAUUACUGCCGAGAAAUUGAUAGAAAAGCGCAUAGUUAUGAGAAUAUCUAGGCAUGAUCAUGUAUAUAGGCAUCACGUUCGCGACAAGUAGACCAAAACGAUUCUACAUCUACUACUAUUACUCCACACAUCAACCGCUAUCCAGCAUGCAUCUAGAGUAUUAAGUUAAUAAGAACAUAGUAACGCAUUAGGCAAGAUGACAUGAUGUAGAGGGAUAAACUCAAGCAAUAUGAUAUAAACCCCAUCUUUUUAUCCUCGAUGGCAACAAUACAAUACAUGCCUUGCUGCCCCUGCUGUCACUGGGAAAGGACACCACAAGAUUGAACCCAAAGCUAAGCACUUCUUCCAUGGUAAGAAAUAUCAAUCUAGUUGGCCAAACCAAACUGAUAAUUCGAAGAGACUUGCAAAGAUAUUGUUCAUAGAUAAUCUAGAUCAUAAACCCACAAUUCAUCGGAUCUCGACAAACACACCGCAAAAAGAAUUACAUCGAAUAGAUCUCCAAGAGAAUCGAGGAGAACUUUGUAUUGAGAUCCAAAGAGAGAGAAGAAGCCAUCUAGCUAAUAACUAUGGACCCGAAGGUCUGUGGUAAACUAUUCACACAUCAUCGGAGAGGCUAUGGUGUUGAUGUAGAAGCCCUCCGUGAUUGAUUCCCCCUCCGACAGAGCGCCCAAAAAGGCCCCAAGAUGGGAUCUCACGGGUACAGAAGGUUGUCACGGUGAAAAUAGGGUUUCGUGGUGCUCCUGAAUAUUUUUGGGGUAUAUAGGUAUAUAUAGGAGGUAGAAGUACGUCGGUGGAGCUGCGAGGGGCCCACGAGGGUGGGAGGCACGCCUACCCCCCUGGGCGCGCCCUCCUGCCUCGUGGCCUCCUCGCUUCUUUCUUGAUGUCCACUCCAAGUAUCCUGGAUCACAUUUGUUCCAAAAAUAACUCUUCUGAACGUUUCAUUCCGUUUGGAUUCCGUUUGAUAUUCCUUUUCUGCUAAACAUUGAAAUAGGCAAAAAACAGCAAUUUGCACUGGGCCUUUGGUUAAUAGGUUAUUCCAAAAAUAAUAUAAAAAGAUAUAUUAAGGCCCAUUAAACAUCUGAAACAGAUAAUAUAAUAGCAUGGAACAAACAAAAAUUAUAGAUACGUUGGAGACGUAUCAAGGAGCAAGUCGGCAACACACGAACUCCACUCCAAGUCUCCAACGCCUCUAUACUGUUGUAGAAGGAAGAAUAUAGAUUAAUCACUAGCUAGAUUAGAUUGAGGACAAAGAAAAGAGAAAUUUAUCUAGAUGUACUUACCUUCCUUUCCUGCAAGCAUCCGGCGGCCCGAUCUGCGAGGUGAGCGAGAAAACGAACCGGCGUGGAGACUGAUGAGGAAUCGCCGCCUCACCGCUGUGCAUGCGUACCUUCUUCGGGCCUCUUGGCAAUUGGGCUUUUGUUGGAAGUUGGAUGAUGGGCCUCUCAGCCUACAGACUUUUCUUUUUUAUUUUCAUUCACGAAUUCAUCAGGGCCUAUAUCAUCUACUACCUGAAAUCUAAAACGUGUGCGCGCGCUAGUUGGAGAAAUCAAGUGACCGCUCUAUCGCAUGCAUGUGUAUAUGUUUUGUCUGCUAGUGCAUGUGAUUGCUGGCAUUAAAUGCGGUCAGACUUGUCACAUGUGAAGAAAAAAUAGAUCCACGCAUAUUUAUUUCUGUUUUCAAAUUUUUAAAAAGUCAUGUCUUUCAAACCACGCACCGAAUUCAGAUCCAUCUUCACCAUUGGAUUCCUCAUGACGAGAUCUUUCAAACUAGAUCCUGCAUGGGUAUGUUUCGACGAAAUGUUUUUAUGCCAACUUUGAUGCUAUAUGGUGCAACUUUAGUACUGUAUUGUGCAACUUUAGUGCAACAUCGUGCAACUUUUUCGGAAACCAAUUUUUAGAUCUGCAUGAUUCAACUUCCUAUGAGAUUGCUAUGUAGCAACUAUGACAACAUUGAUGUGCAACUAGUCUACCGUCUCGACCAAUUACCUAGUAGUCGAUGUGCAACCCUCCUCUCUACAUGUGGAUGUGUAGUUCGUUUACUGUUGGCACACCCUACCCCCUACCCUUGCAAGCAAUAUGUGCAACUUAGUCUAUUAUUCAAUCCAAAUGUCUAUUAGUCAUUGUGCAACUCCUUCCCCUCCCUAUUUGUGGACAUGUACUUUCAGUUGGCGGGGGCAACAAACAGAGUUGCACAUAGUCUGCUAGGUGGUUGGCCAGGGAAACAUACGAAGUUGCACAUCUCAUAGGCAGAGAUAGUCGAAUGGUGAAAAAUUGACAUUCAUGAGGGUAAUGAAAAGUUGCAUAUAAACAGAGUGCUAAAGUUAUAAAUCUCACUAGCAGGGGUGGUUUGGGCCGGGUGAUAGUAGGGAAACUACACAUCCAUGGGGGUAUGAGAGAAAGUGCACAUCACUGUUAGAUAGUUGGCCGUUGCAGUAUUCGAAGUUUCACAUCCACUGUUAGUAUGUUGGCCGAUGCAGCAAACAGUGAAGCACAUCCACGGGCGGGGGAAAGUUGCACAUCAACUACUAUGAAGUUGGCCUGGGCAACAUACGAAGUUGCACAUCUCACUGGAAGGAGGCAGUUUGGGGCUGGAGGUACCAUAAAGGAAAAUUGCAUGUCUACAGUGUAGGAGAAAAGUUGCACAUCUCUAAGGUAGUUGCACAUCGACGACUAGCCAGUUACACAAAACAUGGACAAAAUUACACAAAAAAAUUCCGUCGAAACAUACCCAUGCUGGAUCUAGUUUUGAAGAGCACGCCGUGAGGGUUCCAACAGUGAAAACGGAUCUUAAUUUCGAUGCGCUGCUCGAAAGUUAUGGUUUUUUAAAAUUUAAAAACACAAAUUAAAUGGGUUCACAUAUAUUCACGUGAAUACAUUGCAAUUAUUUAUCUUGUUCACACAUGUCCAUACCUGUUCACUUUGCCUAAUAUGGAUUAGGGAGAGAAAAUAUUUCAUUUUUUGGCCGGCCACCGCGGAGCGCUAGCGGGCCAACGGCCACCUGCUAGACCAGUCCCAUCUACUAUACACACACUGCAGCACGGGUCGGGGCCCCUAGUUUGGCUAGGCCCGGGUCGUCGCCCCUGCUGCCCUGGCCCAGGGCCGGCCCUGACCGGAAGUUUCAACUUUCUUUCUGGAAAAAGGUGGCCCGCAAAUCGACACGCCUGACCUUAUCAUACCGUUGUCACACUGGGCUUAGCGACCUCGCCUUGAUUGCUAAAUUUGAUCUGCUGGGGCCCGAUGGGUUGUUUUCAGGGCAGUCGUGUCGAACUUGGGCAGUUGUUAAUUUGUGAGCCAAAUCCUAACUGAUACGAGCAGUUUUUAAUGUGUGAAGCACAAUUCAACUGCUGAUGAGGCAGAGUGUUUUUGUGGGUUCUGGCAUGUCUUUUUUCUUUUCUUUCACAAGCAUGCCAAUUUGUACAUUCUUUUCUUUAUGAGAAGACAAUGCUCAUGCCAGUUGCGGGAAAAAACUUUCAAUACUCCCAAAUUGCUAUAUGCGUUUAUGCUGCCACUGAAGGUAAGCAUGAAGGCAAAUGGAACAUAAAUGUCAAUAAUACUCAAAUCAGAAGAGACCUCAGGGGACGGGGGUGAUUGUGGUGGAUAAUCCAUCAGUAGAAAAUGAGUGUGAAACAUAAAUGUAUUAUCAUAAUUGUCAUGUGUUUAUUUAUUUUUACCUGGCUAAGAACCAUGUCUAGAGGAGUAGAAUCAAAGGACAUGGGUGUUUGGGACAAUGGAAUGAGCAACUGCAAAAAUAAGGAUCUUCAAGUCUAGAUGCCAAUACCGAUCAAUAAUGAUCACGAUAGUACAAAGAAAAUUGUGCAAAAUCUGAUAAUAAUAUAAACAUAAGUUAAUUUCAGUGUACUACACGAGCAUUUUAGACAUUGGCAGCCAUCUAUGAAUUCAGUGAUAUUUUCCCAGCAAAGAAAUUUCGGUUGUGUUGAUUUCUUUUCACUUUCAGUUCAACAAAGUUUUCAUCAAGAAAGAAAGGUUUGUGAGCUUUACAUCCAUGGUUGUCCCUUACUCUAGUUCAUGUCAAUGAUAUAUAUGAUCCGAUAUUUCUUAUAAACUGCAAUUUUUGAACAAGUUUGUGAAGAAACCAAACUUUUGCGAAGAAGAAUCAUACUAUUUCUAUUUAACAUUUCUUUAUGAUGUAUAAAUUGGAUACGGUGUGUUUCUCCUACAUUUUUGUAUGCGGCCUACAUGAAUACACAAAGAAGGUUUACAAUAACAAGAUACGAGUUUAGGUGGUAUCCGCAACAAAGUCUUGUAUCACAGUCCUUACAACAACCGGAAUUCGAACUGAGUGGGUACUUCCGUCUGACCAUGUCAAGCUCCCGAAAGUGUAUCCUCCUUGCACUCUCUGACUUGUGGUGAAUGUCACCAUAAAUGUUGCGCUUCUACUGCUUCCUUUGGUGAAAGUAAUCACAGAUGGUUCUACCGACACAUCUAUCCCUGCUGGAGCUUCAACCACUAAAUGAUAUGUUGCUUCCGCUGGCCCAACGUUAGUCACAGUGUGCCGAAGCAUGACAUGGUCCUUGAGGUCCGGCACGACAAUUGACGGGAGGUUGAGAUUGAGGUAGUAGGACUCACAACCAUCUAAAUAUCCAAGAGUGCAGUUCAAAAACUUGUUGUACUCUCUUGCAUCCACGUCAUAAACCAAGCCAGGGUCAACAGCUCUAUCUGGGUCUAUGUGUCCACCACCAAAGUCGAAGGGGUCAGCUAGUUUCCUUGGGACCGCUUCUGCUUGGAUUGGCAUGCCAAAACAAUCAGUCACAGAUGCUGCAACCAAGACAAGAAACAAUCAAAUCAGUUUUAUAUUUUGACGAAUUGUUUUCAUGUAUUUUUUGUAUUUCAAUGUUCACACCUGUGGUGACGAUGGCAGACUUGAUCAAGGCAGGUGACCAGCCAGGGUGAACCGACUUGAGCAGUGCGGUCACAGCGGAGACAUGCGGGCACGCCAUGGAUGUCCCGGAUUUGAACACGCAGGAGUCGCGGUCCGCUGCCUAGAUGCUGACGCCAGGUGCAGCAAUGUCGGGCUGUUCAAACAUGUGUAUUGAGAAUUAGUUAAGAAGUCAUAAGUUAAGAAAAAUUAGGAAGGCUAGGUAACAAACAAGACAAUGGCAACAAUUGUCUCAAGUUAAGAAAUUGAGAAUGAUAUAUACCUUGAGUGUGCUAGGGAACAACAUGCUUGGACCUCUCGACGAGAAUGAGGCGACCCUCGGCACCAACACCCCUUUUCUGACAACGGUCAUGGUAGGUGACACCUUCAGCACCGCAUUCCUAGCAUGACACAUGACUGGCAUGAGUUUCCGGAGAAGAAGAAAACGCAUUCAAGUCUGUUUCAAACAACACGACAUGCACUCACCCUUUGUCCCAACUCCAAUAGGAGGCAAUUCGUUGUGCGAUCUCAAAAUCCACCACUACACAGGGCAUAACGCCCCUACACAAAGGCAGGAAGUCGAGGAGGUUAGUAGUGUACUGUGCAAAUAUGAGGCACUUGGCGCCAGCCAUGGUGGUGAGAUUGAUGGCUAUGGGAAGUGCUUGUCGAGGUGGCAUGCUUCUCGCCGCCACGGGUUGAUAGCAUAGGACGAUUUUACCGGUGACGUUGCUCAAUGCCAGUGACGACUCCGUGUCACAGCUGCGCAGAAGUUGUAAUUCAGUAUAGUUGAUAAAACACUGAAUCGUGGUUACAAAAGUGGACAACUACAACAAAUGGGUCAAGUGAUUACAGAUGCAUAACUACAGAAGUUUUAUUUCAUUACCUCCCGGCAUAAACAAGGUCUUUAAAGUUGCCGCUGAUCACAGAUGCAUUGUUGUGAAGAGAUUGCCCCUGUAUUUCGAAUCAAGCACACAUUAAUAAGUAAUUAAAGGAAUCAGGGAAAGCUGGCUUCAGGGACGAGCUAAAUGUACUUUUUGUUUGUUUCCAUGCUCUGAGACGAAUCAAGUUAAUUUAUCAAAAACUAUAAAACCAAUUUUAUAGCCCCGGAUCUAUCAUUUCCUCAGACCAAAUAAAUACUUGGAGAAUGUUUGUUUGUAGCAUGCACGUAUCACAAGCUUUUCUUUGUUUCCGAGCGAUAUCAAGGUCGGGAAAGACCGGUCAAUUGUGCUAGCGGCCACCGUCGUAACCCACGAUAGGGCAUUAGCCACCGUUUGUGGCACAUGGCCAUCAUUCCCUCCGGCGAACACGAUAGAGAUCCCUCUUUGCACAGCAUGCAGCGUCCCAGAAAACUCGUGACCAGCCCCAGCAAUCGAGAGCGACAAGACGUCCACACCGUCAUGCAUAGCAUCAUCGAUAGCCGCGAGGACCGCUGCUUCAGGGCAACUCCCACCCAACCAACACACCUUGUAGAUACUGAGCCGCACACGUGGCGCCCCGCCGCGUGCCACGCCCAUGCCUAGGCCUCCGUAGCUCACGCCCUGCACUUCCCUGCCGGCGAUGGUCGACGCGAUGUGUGUGCCAUGGCCUUCAAUGUCCCUAGGCGACUUAUAGUUUCUGUUUAGCACCUCGUCACUGAUUCCACGCCCAUACCACCGCGCACCGAUGAUCUUUUUGUUGCAACUUGUGGUGUUGAAAUCCUGACCAGUCUGGCAUUUCCCUUUCCACCGUGCCGGCACAGGGCCAUACCCAUUGUCAUCAAAGCUUCGUGAUUCAGGCCAUAUGCCUAUAAAUAAGCAUGGUAAUCAAUUGAUGUGUGUGCCAUGGCCUUCAAUGUCCCUAGGCGACUUAUAGUUUCUGUUUAGCACCUCGUCACUGAUUCCACGCCCAUACCACCGCGCACCGAUGAUCUUUUUGUUGCAACUUGUGGUGUUGAAAUCCUGACCAGUCUGGCAUUUCCCUUUCCACCGUGCCGGCACAGGGCCAUACCCAUUGUCAUCAAAGCUUCGUGAUUCAGGCCAUAUGCCUAUAAAUAAGCAUGGUAAUCAAUUGAUUCGGUAUCGGAGUUUCUCAUAUUCAGGAUUUAAGCUUGAGGGGUCGGACUGCAAACCUGUAUCGAUCACACCCACGAUGACAUCUUCACCAUACUUUGCUUUUUUGAGUAGGCCCGGUUGUUGUCUUGGUUGGUUAUGGUCAAGGCCAAGAAAGUCCCAGCUCCGAGUUGUGUGCGUUUCGUGAUAAGUGUUAGGCUUCACAGUGACAACUUCUGGGAAUUCUACACCCAAAAUAUGUUGAUUAGUUCUUGUCAGUCAUGCAAGUAGAUACGAUGAUAGGUAGGAGCCUAUAGGACUGACAAUCACUUACUUGCGAUUGUCUCAGCCUGAGACUCGGUGAGCAUCGCCGCAAAACCAGAAAAUCCAUGCUUGUAACUGUAAACUAUCGACCUCAAGGCUUCAUCCUUGCUGUUGUCAAGUAAAAUGAGGGUGAGCAAAUCACGACUAAUACGUCGACGAUGCAACAUGAACUCCUCAUUGUUUUUGUUUUGAACAAAAUGAAUUGGUAGCUAGUUACCGUACCUCCCAAAAACAGAGGUUAGCAUGUCACGGUGAGACACGGUGACCAUGGAUGGGUCAUCAUGCUUCUUCUCCCCCAUAUACACGAUGUAGAGCUCAAAUUCAUUUUGUCGCAUAAGUUCUCAACAAAAAACAGAUAUCAGGAAAGAAAGCAAAUUGAGAGAGGACUCGGGUGUGUAUCUUACUUUACUCGACGCGUUAGCUGAAACAGGCAGCAGUAUUACCAGCAGUAGGAGAGCGCCGCUGUAACGCCCCGGAUAUAACUUUCCCAAUUUGUACUCCGACUCUUGCCGUUUCCGGCGUUAAGUUAUUUGAUUUUCUCGGGUUCGGGUCUUUGUCUUUGUGUGUUGUUAUUGAUGUCAUGCAUCUCAUAUCAUGUCAUCAUGUGCAUUGCAUUUGCAUACGUGUUCAUCUCAUGCAUUCGAGCAUUUUCCCCAUUGUCCGUUUUGCAUACCGGCGCUUCGUUCUCCUCUGGUGGUCAUUUCUAACUUUCUUUCGUGUGUGGGGAUUAAACAUUUCUGGAUUAAACAUCUCCUUGGUUUACUACCGGUAGACCGCCUGUCAAGUUUCGUAUCAUUUGGACUUCGUUUGAUACUCCAACGGUUAACCGAGGGACCGAAAAGGCCUCGUGUGUGUUGCAGCCCAACACCCUUCUUCUUUUGGCCCAAAACCCACCAAACUCUGAUCCAUCAUCUAGAUCGUUCGAUCACGAUUGCGUGGCCGAAAACCGCACCUUAUUUGGACUCUCCUAGCUCCCUCUAUGCCUAUAUAUACCUCCCCCAUUCCAAAUCUGGAUCCCCUCUCUUUGAACCCUAAAAAAAGAUCCCCUAGCCGCCGGACGUGUCCGGACGGGGCCGGACAACGUCCGCCCGCCACCGCCGCCCAACCUCGUUCUGCCACGUGGCGGGGCGCGUGCCCACAUAGCCGCCGGCCCGGGCAGGCCCGCACCGGGUCCUCCAAGCCCAUCGGGUGCCGCCGCCCUUCGCCCGCCGNNNNNNNNNNNNNNNNNNNNNNNNNNNNNNNNNNNNNNNNNNNNNNNNNNNNNNNNNNNNNNNNNNNNNNNNNNNNNNNNNNNNNNNNNNNNNNNNNNNNNNNNNNNNNNNNNNNNNNNNNNNNNNNNNNNNNNNNNNNNNNNNNNNNNNNNNNNNNNNNNNNNNNNNNNNNNNNNNNNNNNNNNNNNNNNNNNNNNNNNNNNNNNNNNNNNNNNNNNNNNNNNNNNNNNNNNNNNNNNNNNNNNNNNNNNNNNNNNNNNNNNNNNNNNNNNNNNNNNNNNNNNNNNNNNNNNNNNNNNNNNNNNNNNNNNNNNNNNNNNNNNNNNNNNNNNNNNNNNNNNNNNNNNNNNNNNNNNNNNNNNNNNNNNNNNNNNNNNNNNNNNNNNNNNNNNNNNNNNNNNNNNNNNNNNNNNNNNNNNNNNNNNNNNNNNNNNCCGCGCAGCCGCAAGGCCCCACCGCCGAGGCCGCCCCGCUCCGGUCGGCCUCCUCCAACUCCGGCCUCCUCCUCCCCUCACUCCGGCGGUUCUUGCUAUAGUAACUCCGGCGAACAUCGAAGAACGUGCCAGAUCUGAGAUCUAAAAUCUCGAGGGUUGACUUUUUGCCUGAAACCCUAGUUCAUAUGCUCCUGUUCAUCGCAUCGUAACUUUGCAUCCGUAGCUCCGAUUCAUGCAUAUAGCAUAUCAAAAUGUUCGCCUCAGAGAGUACAUCAUUUCAUUCCAUUGCAUCAUUUUCAUUUGAGUUCAUCUUGAUGCCCGAAAUGUUGUUAGAAGAGGGCUACUUGAGUUAAUUGUCAGAUCUGCUACUCCAUCUUAGGCAUUUAUCAUUUUUGUCAUGAUUAAUGUGUGCAUGAUAUGCCCAUGAGCUCUACAUAUGUUUUGUUAAGGGUUUUGUCAUCUUUCCAGAGGUGCAACCCAUGUAUUUUUUGUGAUGUGUGUGGUGACUAGUGCAAGCUUGCAAAGUGAGGCACUCGGUAACUCCGUUUUCAGGAACUUGGUAAUUUCACUAAGUCCUGGGAUUGUUUAGUUCAUGAUGCCACAUGUUCGUGUUGUUUCCUAGUGAUCCGUGCCUCUUUUGAGGAUGAUCAGUAAAGGAGUUUUGUCAUUAUUGUAGUGUUGUAUCCAUCCAUGUCUUUGUUUGCAAUUAUGGAGCACCCUACCUUGAGUCAAUCAAGCUCUACUUUUGCUUCGUUGUGAAUCUGGGCAGAUUGUCAACUUGUUUGCAAUUUUGCCGGAGAUGUUGUAGUUGAUCCGUGCAUGCUAUGCUAUUGUUCUUGCCAUGUAUAGCUUACAUUUUGUGCCUUCUUAGUGGAUGUAUGCUUGUAUUUCCAUGACUUGCACCGUAGUGAGUGCAUCAAGCUCGUAAACAUGCCUACUUGAGUUAAGUUUCAGCAUGUGUCAGUUUUCACUAAGUCUGAAAACUCAUUAUGUUUUUGCUAUGUUCGUGUGCUUGUUAGUAUAUUUUCGGAUCCCUUUUGGCUCAAGGUCACUAAGGGACUUUUGUUAAGCUUGUUGAGUAGCUCAAUGCCAUGUUCUUCUUUGCCAUGUUCAGGUCCUAUAAUAUGUUGUUUUGUUGCUCCGAAGAGGGCUAUAUGAUCUGAAAUUUCAAACAAGUGUUAAUUUCACUAAGUCUGAGAUCUGUUUUCCAUUUGUGUUUUUGUCAUGCUUGUUUGAACCUGUUAAUGGAUGAUUUGGCCGUAGCUCAGUGCUAGACUUUUGUCAAGCAUCUUGAAUGCUUCCCUGCCAUGUUUGGAUGCUGUAGCAUGUUUAUUUCAUUGCAUUUAGGUGCCUACUUGCUGUAAAUCGCAGACUGGUGUCAUAUUUGAAUCGCUUGCCAUUUCCAAACCGUAACUCCGAUUCCGGCGAUCUUUAUAUAGUUUUCAAGCGAUUUCAUCUCAUCUUUCCAGUCGCACACUUGGAAUUCCAAGUUGAGGCCAGGUUCAUGCAUUUCCUGUCAUAUCUUGCAUAUGCAUCCCGCAUCGCAUCCCGCAUAGCAUAUCGUCAUUGCAUCAUAUUGUUUGAGUUUGCACGUGGUUGAUUGUAUCCUUGUUGCUUGUUUGUCUUGUUUUGGUAGAGCCGGGAGACGAGUUUGCUAAUGAGGAGCCCGUUGAGUUUGCUUUCGAGGAUCCAGUCAACUCUGACAGCUUUGCAGGCAAGAUGAUCAUACCCUCGAAAUCACUACUAUCUUUGCUAUGCUAGUUUGCUCGCUCUUUUGCUAUGCCAAUGCUACGAUGCCUACCUUUGUUUGUCAGCCUCCCGAAUUGCCAUGUCAAACCUCUAACCCACCAUGUCCUAGCAAACCGUUGAUUGGCUAUGUUACCGCUUUUCUCAGCCCCUCUUAUAGCGUUGCUAGUUGCAGGUGAAGAUUGAAGGUCGUUCCUUGUUGGAACAUUUAUUUACUUGUUGGGAUAUCAUUAUAUUGCCAUGUUAUCUUAAUGCAUCUAUAUACUUGGUAAAGGGUGGAAGGCUCGGCCUCUCGCCCAGUGUUUUGUUCCACUCUUGCCGCCCUAGUUUGCGUCAUAUUGGUGUUAUGUUCCCGGAUUUUGCGUUCCUUACGCGUUUGGGUUAUAAUGGGAACCCCUUGAUAGUUUGCCUUGAUUAAAGCUUUUCCAGCAAUGCCCAACCUUGGUUUUACCAUUUGCCACCUAGCCUCUUUUCCCUUGGGUUUCUGGAGCCCGAGGGUCAUCUUAUUUUAGCCCCCCGGGCCAGUGCUCCUCUGAGUGUUGGUCCGAACCAGGCAGCCUGCGGGGCCACCUCGGGGAAACUCGAGGGUUGGUUUUACUCGUAGCUUGACCUAUCUGAGUGUGCCCUGAGAACGAGAUAUGUGCAGCUCCUAUCGGGAUUCGUCGGCACAUUCGGGCGGUGUUGCUGGUUUAGUUUUAACCUGUUGAAAUGUCUUGAAGAACCGAGAUACCGAGUCUGAUCGGAACGUCUUGGGAGGAGGUCUAUUCCUUCGUUGACCGUGAGAGCUUGUCAUGGGCUAAGUUGGGACUCCCCUGCAGGGAUUGAACUUUCGAAAGCCGUGCCCGCGGUUAUGGGCAGAUGGGAAUUUGUUAAUGUCCGGUUGUAGAUAACUUGAACCUUAAUUUAAUUAAAAUGAAUCAACCGUGUGUGUUACCGUGAUGGCCCCUUCUCGGCGGAGUCCGGGAAGUGGACACGGUGUUGGAGUAAUGUUUGCGCAGGUUGCUCUCUAGUUUCUCGCUCGCGCUUUGCCUCCUCUUCUCCCUCUCUUUUGCGAAUAAGUUAGCCACCAUAUAUGCUAGUCGCUUGUUGCAGCUCCACAUAUAUUUACCUUACCCUACCUAUAAGCUCAAAUAGUCUUGAUCGCGAGGGUGCGAGAUUGCUAAGUCCCUGUGGCUCACAGAUUACUAUUACACCAGAUGCAGGUCCAGGUGAUUCCGCUCCAGGUGACGCGUACGAGCUCAAGUGGGAGUUCGACGAGGACUCUUAGCGUUACUAUGUUUCCUUUCCUGAUGAUCAGUAGUGGUGCCCUGUUGGGGGUGAUCGGGACCAUGUCGCUUGUUGGGUUAUCUUUCAUUUUGGUGCCAUAGUCGGGUCAUGAGUGUUUGAAUGAUGUAUGUUAUUUAUGUACUUGAUUGACGUGGCGAGUGUAAGCCAACUAUGUUAUCCCUUUUCAUUAUCUUUAUUACAUGGGAUGUUUGUGAUGAUUACCUGACUUGCGACAUAUGCCUUCAAUGCGAUUAUGCCUCUAAGUCGUGCCUCGACACGUGGGAGAUAUAGUUGCAUCGAGGGUGUUACAAGUUGGUAUCAGAGCCUUCCCCGACCUUAGGAGCCCCAUUGCUUGAUCGUUUUUAGCGGCCGAGUUGUGUCUAGAAAAAAUGUUUUGAGUCAUUUAGGAAUUAUAGAUCGGAGAGUUUAGGAAUUCUUUUUACUUCCCAGUCUCCUCAUCGCUCUGGUAAGUCAUCCUGACGUAGAGUUUUGAAUCUUCUCUUCUCAAAUUUCACUAAAAAAAAUUUAGGAUCACGCGGGUAUCUUGGAAUCGUUUCGAUGGUUUUAUGAUGAGAACAUUGUCUUGGUGCCUCCUGUCAGGGGUUUAGUGGAAGUGUCCCGGGGAGUUGAGCUCUGAGGUGUUGUCAUCAUAAUUUUAUCGUUGCAAUUCUGGAAUACUUGAGUUUAGUACGCCGACAUCGAAAAUCUCUUUUAUGCAGUUCGUUGGUGAGAUAACCUCGACGCCACCCAGUACUGGGGCGGGAGUUCGGGAGUAUCGCCAUAACUUGUAUAACGGAUGCUUUUUGAAGGUUGAGGUAGAUGGUUUCCGAAGGUUUCUUGGUUAUGUGUUGAAGGAUGGAUACAGCUGGAUGUAGGAUUUGCUAGAUUCGGGUGAGAUAUUAUGCUUCCCCUGUAUCCCCAACACCUGAUUGCAUAACCGGAAAGGUUCGGGAGUUUCAUAGGUGGGAAUUCUCGUAGCUCUAGUUCUUCUUCCAUGGAUAUUGGUUUGAGAUUGGGAUUUCUUACCGAUUAUUCGUUCUUGAGCCGUACCUUGUUGAUUUAUUUAUCUACCUUCAUUCUACGUGGCUUCGCAAUUUAUGGAUAUGUGACCAUUUCAAGAGGAAUGCAUUCGUUCAAUUUGUUCGGAUGUGAAUACUUUAUGUUGCGAUUUUCUUUCCGUUGGAUUCAGCUUCAUUUUUCUGUCUAUGUGCUAACGGUGGUCAACCUCUUCAGGAUGGCUCCCGCUAAGAGCACCAGUCAGAAUCAGAAUCAAGAUCCGCCACCACCUCCACCUCCUCCGGAGGCAUGGAAAGCUGUGAUGGCCGCAACCAAUGCAAACACACAGUUGAUCAUGCAAAUUCUCCAAGAGCGCAAUCAAGGCAGUCAAGGGAAUCAAUGCAGCAAUCAGAAUCACUUUGCUACACUGAACCAGUUCCUUGCUAAUGGGCCAAAGACGUUCAGCAAUUGUGUUGAGGCAUUCGAUGCUGACGAUUGUCUUGUAGAUCUGUGUAAGCAUUUUGAGUGCAGCAACGUCAGGCCUGAAGAUUUCGUCAAGUUUGCUUCCUUCCAACUCAAAGAUCAAGCUGCAGAAUGGUUCCAGCAGUACAAGGAUUCUAGAGGUGGACGUCUGAUCACUUGGGAUGAAUUCCGUCAAGAUUUUCGAGCUCAUCACAUCCCUCAGAGCGUGGUUGAAAGUAAGCGUGAGGAAUUCUGCAACUUGAAGCAAGGCUCUAUGUCUGUCUAUGACUACAACAAGUUGUUCCAGAAGCUCGCCGUUUUGCCAAGCAGGACGUACCUGAUGAGAAGAGCAUGAUAUACCAGUUCAGGGGUGGCCUCAGAGAAGAAAUUCAGCUCGCUCUUGUCCUCUUUGAGCCGUUGAGAUACAAUGAGUUCUACAACAUGGCAUUGAAGCAAGAGGCUGCUCAGUUGAGGUGUGAUGCUUCCAAGAAGCGAGUCAGAGAUGCUACUCCUUCCUCUACUCAAGUGGCCAAGCAGCAGAAGUAUUGUCUUCCUCCUCCUCCGUUCCGUCAGCCGUAUCAGCAGAAGAAUAAAGGUGGCAGUGGUUCUUCCCACCCACUCAACCCUGGCUUUCAGAACAAGACUUCGUCACAACCUCCAAGAUUGAGUGCUCCGUACCACUUUCCGCUCUCAGAGGUCAAGUGCAACAAGUGCCAAGAAAAGGGUCACUAUGCCAACAAGUGUUUCAACCAGAGGCGCCUUCCUCCUCCUCCUGUGAGAUCGGCAAGUACAGCUGUGGUCAAGCAUAACCCCAAGCACGCCAAGGUCAACUUAAUGAACGCAGCUCAGGCAGAGGAUUCAUCAGAUGUCAUCAUGGGUAACCUUCCUGUUAACGAUGUUCCCGCAAAAGUUCUUUUUGACACUGGUGCAUCGCAUUGUUUCAUGUCAAAGCCAUUUUUUACCAAGCAUGAGUUCGUUUCUUCUCAUUUGGGUAAAAAAAUGGAUAUCGUUUCUCCUGGCAAACGUUUGAGUGCAAGUCUGGAGGUGCCAGAUGUCACUAUCACAUUGGGCGACUACAAGUUCCUUUCUUCCCCAAUGGUUCUUGGCAACUCGGAUAUUGAUCUUAUUCUCGGAAUGGAUUGGCUUUCUAAGCACAAGGCACAUCUUGAUUGUGCAGCCAGGCAGAUUCAAUUGACUCAUUCGUCUGAGGAUGUAAUUGUCUUUGCCGCUCGGGAUAAUACCAUCCGUCUGUUUUCUCUCAAUGAGAAGGGUGAAUUUGAUGCUAUCUCGCAAAUUCCAGUCGUUUGCGAAUAUCAAGACGUCUUUCCAGAAGAGCUCCCAGGAAUGCCUCCGCACCGGCCAGUAGAAUUCGUUAUUGAUCUUGAGCCUGGUACGGAACCUGUGUGCAAACGUCCUUACAAGCUCGGACCUGAAGAGUUGAAGGAGCUGAAGAAGCAACUCGAUGAGCAAGAGAGAAUGGGUCUCAUCUGGCCUAGUUCGUCUCCGUGGGGUUGUGGUGUUCUUUUUGUGAAGAAGAAGGAUGGAACGGACCGACUUUGUGUUGAUUACCGUCCAUUGAACAAGAAGACCAUCAAGAACAAAUACCCACUUCCCAACAUCAAUGAGCGUUCGAACAACUCAAAGGUGCUCAAGUAUUCUCCAAGCUUGAUCUCUGUAUGGGUUAUCAUCAGAUUCGUAUCUGUGAGCAAGAUAUUCCCAAGACGGCUUUCAGGAUAAGCUUUGGUUCUUAUGAAUACACUGUCAUGUCUUUUGGCCUCGUCAACGCUCCUCCGACUUUCUCUCGCAUGAUGAACUUCAUCUUCAACGCCUACACCAAUGACUUCGUUUUGGUCUAUCUCGACAACAUUCUGGUUUUCUCGAAGAACAAGGAAGAUCAUGCCAAACACUUGCGUUUGGUUCUCGAUAAGCUCAGGGAACAUCAAUUCUAUGCCAAGUUCUCCAAGUGUGAAUUUUGGCUCAAUGAGGUUCUUUAUCUUGGUCAUAUCAUCUCUGCCAAGGGCAUUGCCGUGAAUCUUGAGAAGGUGUCUGCAAUUGUGAAUUGGGAACCUCCUCAGAACGUGAAGCAACUCCGCAGUUUCCUCGGUCUCGCAAGCUAUUGUCGAAGAUUCGUUGAAAACUUUUCUAAGAUCGCGAAGCCUCUCUCUAAUCUUCUUCAGAAGCACGUCAAGUACGUUUGGUCUCCGGAGUGUGAUAUUGCUUUCAACACUUUGAAAGAGAAAUUGGUCACUACUCCAGUUCUGACUCCGCCUGACGAAUCCAAACCAUACGAGGUCUUUUGUGAUGCCUCUCUCCAAGGUCUUGGCGCAGUAUUGAUGCAAGAGAAGAAAGUUGUUGCUUAUACCUCUCGCCAGUUGAAGCCUAAUGAGAAGAACUACCCCACUCAUGAUCUCGAGUUGGCGGCAGUUGUGCAUGCUCUUUUGACUUGGAGACAUCUUCUAUUGGGAAGAAAAGUGGAUAUAUUCACUGAUCACAAGUGUCUCAAGUACAUCUUCACUCAGCCUAAUCUCAACCUCGGGCAAACUCGAUGGGUCGAAAUGAUUCAAGAGUAUAAUCCGAGUAUCGAGUAUACUCCAGGCAAGGCCAAUGUGAUUGCUGACGCUUUGAGCAGGAAAGCUUAUUGCAACAGUCUGAUUCUAAAGCCUUAUCAACCCGAGCUUUGUGAAGCUUUCCGCAAACUUAAUCUGCAAGUUGUUCCUCAAGGUUUCCUCGCCAACCUUCAAGUCUCUCCUACCUUGGAAGACCAAAUUCGCCAAGCCCAGCUUCUUGAUGCUAUGGUGAAGAAGGUGAAGAUUGGGAUUGCUAAGAGUCAACCCAAGUACAAGUGUUGCCGCCUUGAUGACAAGGAUACUCUCUUCUUCGAGGAUCAAAUUGUUGUACCCAAAGGUGAACUUCGUAAAGUGAUUAUGAACGAGGCUCACAAUUCUCUCCUCUCCAUCCACCCUGGGAGUACGAAGAUGUAUCAGGGCCUCAAGCAAGCUUAUUGGUGUACUCGAAUGAAGUGCGAGAUCGCUCAAUUCGUGAAUGAAUGUGAUGUCUGCAGAAGAGUGAAGGCAGAACACCAAAGGCCAGCAGGUCUCCUCCAACCUCUUGCCUUUCCAGAAUGGAAGUUUGACCACAUUGAAAUGGACUUCAUGACUGGGUUUCCAAAGUCCAAGCGUGGCAAUGAUGCUAUAUUUGUUGUCAUCGACAAACUCACCAAAGUGGCUCACUUUCUGCCUAUCAAAGAGUCGAUCACUAUAGCUCAAUUGGCGGAACUCUAUACCUCUCGAAUUGUCUCUCUGCACAGUAUCCCUCAAGUGAUAUCUUCAGACCGUGGCAGCAUCUUUACCUCCAAGUUUUGGGAUUCUUUUCAGAAGGCCAUGGGCACCAACAUCCGCUUCAGCACAGCUUUCCAUCCUCAAACAAGCGGUCAAGUUGAGCGUGUCAACCAGAUUCUUGAAGGUAUGCUCAGGGCUUGUGUGAUCUCCUUUGGCAUGAAGUGGGAGGAUUGUCUUCCUUAUGUUGAAUUCUCCUACAACAACAGUUUUCAAGCAAGUUCGGGCAAGGCCCCAUUUGAAAUUCUAUAUGGCAGGAAGUGCCGUACCCCUCUCAAUUGGUCUGAAACCGGUGAACGUCAGCUUUUGGGCAAUGACUUAAUCACAGAAGUAGAGGAAAUGUGCAAAGUCAUUCGUGAUAACCUCAAAGCAGCCCAAUCCCGCCAGAAGAGCUACUAUGAUAGUAAGCACCGUGAUUUGGCUUUCGAGAUCGGAGAUCAUGUUUACCUCCGCGUCUCUCCUAUGAAAGGUACUCGUCUCUUUGGUAUCAAAGGGAAGCUUGCCCCUAGAUACGUGGGACCUUUCAAGAUUAUCAGCAAGAGAGGCGACCUCGUCCAUCAACUCGAGCUUCCUUCAAACUUUGCAAAUGUUCAUGAUGUGUUCCAUGUCUCUCACCUUCGGAAGUGCUUCAGGACUCCUGACCGCACAGUCAACUUCGAGGACAUUGAGCUCCAAGAAGAUCUCUCCUAUCGUGAGCACCCAGUUGCUAUUCUUGAAGAGACUGAACGCAAGACUCGCAACAAGUCAAUCAAAUUUCUCAAAAGUCAAGUGGUCACACCAUUCCGACCGUGAAGCUACAUGGGAAUGCGAGGAUCACCUCCGUUCUGAGUACCCGGCGCUCUUUCAGUCCUAGAUCUCGGGACGAGAUCCUUUCGUAGUGGUGGAGUGUUGUAACGCCCCGGAUAUAACUUUCCCAAUUUGUACUCCGACUCUUGCCGUUUCCGGCGUUAAGUUAUUUGAUUUUCUCGGGUUCGGGUCUUUGUCUUCGUGUGUUGUUAUCGUUGUCAUGCAUCUCAUAUCAUAUCAUCAUGUGCAUUGCAUUUGCAUACGUGUUCAUCUCAUGCAUUCGAGCAUUUUCCCCGUUGUCCGUUUUGCAUACCGGCGCUUCGUUCCCCUCCGGUGGUCAUUUCUAGCUUUCUUUCGUGUGUGGGGAUUAAACAUUUCCGGAUUGGACCGAGACUUGUCAAGCGGCCUUGGUUUACUACCGGUAGACCGCCUGUCAACUUUCGUAUCAUUUGGACUUCGUUUGAUACUCCAACGGUUAACCGAGGGACCGAAAAGGCCUCGUGUGUGUUGCAUCCCAACACCCCUCUUCUUUUGGCCCAAAACCCACCAAACUCUGCUCCAUCAUCUAGAUCGUUUGAUCACGAUCGCGUGGCCGAAAACCGCACCUCAUUUGGACUCUCCUAGCUCCCUCUAUGCCUAUAUAUACCUCCCCCAUUCCAAAUCUCAGAUCCCCUCUCUCUGAACCCUAAAAAAAAGAUCCCCUCGCCGCCGGACGUGUCCGGACGGGGCCGGACAACGUCCGCCCGCCACCGCCGCCCAACCUCGUUCUACCACGUGGCGGGGCGCGUGCCCNNNNNNNNNNNNNNNNNNNNNNNNNNNNNNNNNNNNNNNNNNNNNNNNNNNNNNNNNNNNNNNNNNNNNNNNNNNNNNNNNNNNNNNNNNNNNNNNNNNNNNNNNNNNNNNNNNNNNNNNNNNNNNNNNNNNNNNNNNNNNNNNNNNNNNNNNNNNNNNNNNNNNNNNNNNNNNNNNNNNNNNNNNNNNNNNNNNNNNNNNNNNNNNNNNNNNNNNNNNNNNNNNNNNNNNNNNNNNNNNNNNNNNNNNNNNNNNNNNNNNNNNNNNNNNNNNNNNNNNNNNNNNNNNNNNNNNNNNNNNNNNNNNNNNNNNNNNNNNNNNNNNNNNNNNNNNNNNNNNNNNNNNNNNNNNNNNNNNNNNNNNNNNNNNNNNNNNNNNNNNNNNNNNNNNNNNNNNNNNNNNNNNNNNNNNNNNNNNNNNNNNNCCGCCGCCCCGCCCUGGCCGGCCUCCUCCAACUCCGGCCUCCUCCUCCCCUCACUCCGGCGGUUCUUGCAACAGUAACUCCAGCGAACAUUGAAGAACGUGCCAGAUCUGAGAUCUAAAAUCUCGAGGGUUGACUUUUUGCUUGAAACCCUAGUUCAUAUGCUCCUGUUCAUCGCAUCGUAACUUUGCGUCCGUAGCUCCGCUUAAUGCAUAUAGCAUAUCAAAAUGUUCGUCUCAAAGAGUAAAUCAUUUCAUUCCAUUGCAUCAUUUUCAUUUGAGUUCAUCUUGAUGCCCGAAAUUCUUUUAGAAGAGGGCUACUUGAGUUAAUAGUCAGAUCUGCUACUCCAUCUUAGGCAUUUGUCAUUUUUGCCAUGAUUAAUGUGUGCGUGAUAUGCCCAUGAGCUCUACAUAUGUUUUGUUAAGGGUUUUGUCAUAUUUCCAGAGGUGCAACCCAUGUAUUUUUUGUGAUGUGUGUGGUGACUAGUGCAAGCUUGCAAAGUGAGGCACUCGGUAACUCCGUUUUCAGGGACUUGGUAAUUUCACUAAGUCCUGGGAUUGUUUAGUUCAUGAUGCCACAUGUUCAUGUUGUUUCCUAGUGAUCCGUGCCUCUUUUGAGGAUGAUCAGUAAAGGAGUUUUGUUAUUAUUGUAGUGCUCUAUCCAUCCAUGUCUUUGUUUGCAAUUAUGGAGCACCCUAGCUUGAGUCAAUCGAGCUCUACUUUUGCUUCGUUGUGAAUCUGGACAGAUUGUCAACUUGUUUGCAAUUUUGCCGGAGAUGUUGUAGUUGAUCUGUGCAUGCUAUACUAUUGUUAUUGCCAUGUAUAGCUUACAUUUUGUGCCUUCUUAGUGGAUGUAUGCUUGUCUUUCCAUGACUUGCACCGUAGUGAGUGCAUCGAGCUCGUAAACAUGCCUACUUGAGUUAAGUUUCAGCAUGUGUCAGUUUUCACUAAGUCUGAAAACUGAUUAUGUUUUUGCUAUGUUCGUGUGCUUAUUAGUAUAUUUUCGGAUCCCUUUUGGCUCAAGGUCACUAAGGGACUUUUGUUAAGCUUGUUGAGUAGCUCCAUGCCAUGUUCUUCUUUGCCAUGUUCAGGCCCUUUAACAUGUUGUUUUGUUGCUCCGAAGAGGGCUAUAUGAUCUGAAAUUUCAGACAAGUGUUAAUUUCACUAAGUCUGAGAUCUGUUUUCCAUUUGUGUUUUUGUCAUGUUUGAACCUGUUAAUGGAUGAUUUGGCCGUAGCUCAGUGCUAGACUUUUGUUAAGAAUCUUGAAUGCUUCCCUGCCAUGUAUUUUUUUGCCAUGUUUGGAUGCUGUAGCAUGUUUAUUUCAUUGCAUUUAGGUGCCUACUUGCUGUAAAUCGCAGACCGGUGUCAUAUUUGAAUCGCUUGCCAUUUCCAAACCGUAACUCCGAUUCCGGCGAUCUUUAUAUCGUUUUCAAGCAAUUUCAUCUCAUCUUUCCAGUGGCACACUUGGAAUUCCAUGUUGAGGCCAGGUUCAUGCAUUUCCUAUCAUAUCUUGCAUAUGCAUCCCGCAUCGCAUCCCGCAUAGCAUAUCGUCAUUGCAUCAUAUUGUUUGAGUUUGCACGUGGUUGAUUGUCUCCUUGUUGCUUGUUUGUCUUGUUUGGGUAGAGCCGGGAGACGAGUUCGCUAACGAGGAGCCCGUUGAGUUUGCUUUCGAGGAUCCAGUCAACUCUGACAGCUUUGCAGGCAAGAUGAUCAUACCCUCGAAAUCACUACUAUCUUUGCUAUGCUAGUUUGCUCGCUCUUUUGCUAUGCCAAUGCUUCGAUGCCUACCUUUGUUUGUCAGCCUCCCGAAUUGCCAUGUCAAACCUAUAACCCACCAUGUCCUAGCAAACCGUUGAUUGGCUAUGUUACCGCUUUUCUCAGCCCCUCUUAUAGCGUUGCUAGUUGCAGGUGAAGAUUGAAGGUCGUUCCUUGUUGGAACAUUUAUUUACUUGUUGGGAUAUCAUUAUAUUGCCAUGUUAUCUUAAUGCAUCUAUAUACUUGGUAAAGGGUGGAAGGCUCGGCCUCUCGCCUAGUGUUUUGUUCCACUCUUGCCGCCCUAGUUUGCGUGAUAUCGGUGUUAUGUUCCCGGAUUUUGCAUUCCUUACAUGGUUGGUGUUGGAAAUAUGCCCUAAAGGCAAUAAUAAAUUGAUUAUUAUUAUAUUUCCUUGUUCAUGAUAAUCGUUUAUUAUCCAUGCUAGAAUUGUAUUGAUAGGAAACUCAGAUACAUGUGUGGAUACAUAGACAACACCAUGUCCCUAGUAAGCCUCUAGUUGACUAGCUCGUUGAUCAAUAGAUGGUUACGGUUUCCUGACCAUGGACAUUGGAUGUCGUUGAUAAUGGGAUCACAUCAUUAGGAGAAUGAUGUGAUGGACAAGACCCAAUCCUAAGCCUAGCACAAAGAUCGUGUAGUUCGUAUGCUAAAGCUUUUCUAAUGUCAAGUAUCAUUUCCUUGGACCAUGAGAUUGUGCAACUCCCGGAUACCGUAGGAAUACUUUGGGUGUGCCAAACGUCACAACAUAACUGGGUGGCUAUAAAGGUACACUACAGGUAUCUUCGAAAGUGUCUGUUGGGUUGGCACGAAUCGAGACUGGGAUUUGUCACUCCGUGUGACGGAGAGGUAUCUCUGGGCCCACUCGGUAGGACAUCAUCAUAAUGUGCACAAUGUGAUCAAGGAGUUGAUCACGGGAUGAUGUGUUACGGAACGAGUAAAGAGACUUGACGCAAACGAGAUUGAACAAGGUAUCGGGAUACCCACGAUCGAAUCUCGGGCAAGUACAAUACCGCUAGACAAAGGGAAUUGAAUACGGGAUUGAUCGAAUCCUCGACAUCGUGGUUCAUCCGAUGAGAUCAUCGUGGAAAAUGUGGGAACCAACAUGGGUAUCCAGAUCCCGCUGUUGGUUAUUGACCAGAGAACGUCUCGGUCAUGUCUGCAUGAUUCCCGAACCCGUAGGCUCAGAUGGGCCUAAGGCCCACCCUAGGGGCCGCCCCCCCUAGGGGUGGGAACCCUAGAGGGGGCGCACCCUCCUCCCCUCCUCCUAUAAAUAGUGGGGUUUCGGGCUGCCUAACACACGCGAUUUGAUCUCUCCCUGGUGCAGCCCUACCUCUCUCCUCCUCGUCUCUUGCGGUGCUUGGCAAAGCCCUGCUGGAGUACCACGCUCCUCCACCACCACCACGCCGUUGUGCUGCUGCUGGAUGGAGUCUUCUUCAACCUCUCCCUCUCUCCUUGCUGGAUCAAGGCAUGGGAGACGUCACCGGGCUGUACGUGUGUUGAACGCGGAGGUGCCGUCCGUUCGGCACUAGGAUCUCUGGUGAUUUGGAUCACGACGAGUACGACUCCUUCAACCCCGUUCUCUUGAACGCUUCCACAUAGCGAUCUACAAGGGUAUGUAGAUGCACUCUCUUUCCCCUCGUUGCUGGUUUCUCCAUAAGAUAGAUCUUGGUGACACGUAGGAAAAUUUUGAAUUUCUGCUACGUUCCCCAACAGUGGUAUCAGAGCCAGGUUUAUUGCAUAGAUUCUAUGCACGAGUAGAACACAAAGUAGUUGUGGGCGUAGAUUUUGUUCAAUAUGCUUACCGUUACUAGUCCAAUCUUUAUUCGACGGCAUUGUGGGAUGAAGCGGCCCAGACCGACCUUACACGUACUCUUACGUGAGACUGGUUCCAUCGACUGACAUGCACUAGUUGCAUAAGGUGGCUAGCGGGUGUCUGUCUCUCCCACUUUAGUCAGAUCGGAUUCGAUGAAAAGGGUCCUUAUGAAGGGUAAAUAGCAAUUGGCAUAUCACGUUGUGGUUUUUGCGUAGGUAAGAAACGUUCUUGCUAGAAACCCAUAGCAGCCACGUAAAACAUGCAAACAACAAUUAGAGGACGUCUAACUUGUUUUUGCAGGGUAUGCUAUGUGAUGUGAUAUGGCCAAGAAGAAUGUGAUGAAUGAUAUGUGAUGUAUGAGAUUGAUCAUGUUCUUGUAAUAGGAAUCACGACUUGCAUGUCGAUGAGUAUGACAACCGGCAGGAGCCAUAGGAGUUGUCUUAAUUUAUUUAUGACCUGCGUGUCAACAUAAACGUCAUGUAAUUACUUUACUUUAUUGCUAACCGUUAGCUGUAGUAGUAGAAGUAAUAGUUGGCGAGACAACUUCAUGAAGACACGAUGAUGGAGAUCAUGAUGAUGGAGAUCAUGGUGUCAUGCCGGUGACGAUGAUGAUCAUGGAGCCCCGAAGAUGGAGAUCAAAAGGAGCAAAGUGAUGAUGGCCAUAUCAUGUCACUAUUUGAUUGCAUGUGAUGUUUAUCAUGUUUAUACAUCUUAUUUGCUUAGAACGACGGUGGUAAAUAAGAUGAUCCCUCAUUAAAAUUUCAAGAAAGUGUUCCCCCUAACUGUGCACCGUUGUGAAAGUUCGUCGUUUCGAAGCACCACGUGAUGAUCGGGUGUGAUAGAUUCUUACGUUCGAAUACAACGGGUGUUGACGAGCCUGGCAUGUACAGACAUGGCCUUGGAACACAUGCGAAACACUUAGGUUAACUUGACGAGCUUAGCAUGUACAGACAUGGCCUCGGAACACAAGAGACCUAAAGGUCGAGCAUGAGUCGUAUGGUAGAUACGAUCAACAUGAAGAUGUUCACCGAUGUUGACUAGUCCGUCUCACGUGAUGAUCGGACACGGCCUAGUUGACUCAGAUCAUGUAAUCACUUAGAUGACUAGAGGGAUGUCUAUCUGAGUGGGAGUUCAUAAGAUGAACUUAAUUAUCCUGAACAUAGUCAAAAGGUCUUCGCAAAUUAUGUCAUAGCUCGCGCUUCAGUUCUACUGUUUAGUUAUGUUCCUAGAGAAAAUUUAGUUGAAAGUUGAUAGUAGCAAUUAUGCGGACUAGGUCCGUAAACUGAGGAUUGUCCUCAAUGCUUCAUAGAAGGCUUAUGUCCUUAAUGCACCGCUCAGUGUGCUGAACCUCGAACGUUGUCUGUGGAUGUUGCGAACAUCUGACAUACACAUUUUGAUAACUACGUGAUAGUUCAGUUAAACGGUUUAGAGUUGAGGCACCAAAGACGUUUUGAAACGUCACGAAACAUAUGAGAUGUUUCGAGGGCUGAAAUUGGGAUUUCAGGCUCGUGCCCACGUCAAGAGGUAUAAGACCUCCGACGAUUUUCUUAGCCUGCAAAGUAAGGGAGAAAAGCUCAAUUGUUGAGCUUGUGCUCAGAUUGUCUGAGUACAACAAUCAUUUGAAUCGAGUGGGAUUUGAUCUUCCAGAUGAGAUAGUGAUGUUUCUCCGAACUCAUUACCACCAAGCUGCUAGAGCUUCCUGAUGAACUAUAAUAUAUCGGGGACAUAUAUGAUGAUCCUUGAGAUAUUCGCGAUGUUUGACACCACAAAAGUAGAAAUCAACAAGGAGCAUCAAUUGUUGAUGGUUGGUGAAACCACUAGUUUCAAGAAGGGCAAGGGCAAGAAGGGAUACUUCAUGAAAAGGCAAUUCAGCUGCUGCUCUAGUGAAGAAACCCAAAGUUGAACCCAAACCCGAGACUAAGUGCUUCUGUAAUAAGGGGAACAGCCACUGGAGCAGAAUUACCCUAGAUACUUGGUAGAUGAGAAGGCUGGCAAGGUCGGUAGAAGUAUAUUGGAUAUACAUUGUGUUAACGUGUACUUUACUAGUACUCCUAGUGGCACCAGGGUAUUAUAUACCAGUUCGGUUACUAAGUGUUAGUAACUCGAAAUAAAAGCUACAGAAUAAACGGAGACUAGCUAAAAGGUGAGAUGACGAUAUGUGUUGGAAGUAUUUCCAAGGUUGAUCAAAUAUCGUACGCUCCCUCUACCAUCAAGAUUGGUGUUUGCGUUGAGCAUAGACAUGAUUGGAUUAUGUCUAUAGUAAUACGGUUAUUCAUUUAAGGAGAAUAAUGGUUACUCUGUUUAUUUGAAUAAUACCUUCAAUGGUCUUGCACCUAAAAUGAAUGGUUUAUUGAAUCUCGAUCGUAGUGAUACACAUGUUCAUGCAAAAAGAUAUAAGAUAGUAAUGAUAGUACCACCUACUUGUGGCACUGCCACGUAAGUCAUAUCGGUAUAAAACGCAUGAAGAAGCUCCAUGUUGAUGGAUCUUUGGGCUCACUCGUUUUUGAAAAGUUUGAGACAUGCGAACCAUGUCUAUUGGUGUAUAUGCAUGAAGAAACUCCAUGCAAAUGGACCGUUUGGACUCACUUGAUUUUGAAUCACUUGAGACAUGCAAAUCAUACCACAUGGGCAAGAUGACUGAAAGCCUCGUUUUCAGUAAAAUGGAACUAGAAAGCAACUUGUUGGAAGUAAUACAUUUUGAUGUGUGCAGUCCAAUAAGUGAUGAGGCAUGUAGUGGAUAUCGUUAUGUUCUUACUUCACAGAUGAUUUGAGUAGAUGUUGAGUAUAUUUACUUGAUAAAUCAUGAGUCUGAAUUAUUGAAAGGUUCAAGUAAUUUCAGAGUGAAGUUGAACAUCGUCGUGACAAGAGGAUAAAAUGUCUAUGAUAUGAUCGUAGAGAUGAAUAUCUGAAUUACGAGUUUGGCACAGAAUUAAGACAUUGUGGAAAUUGUUUCACAACCAAUACAGCCAGGAACACCAUAGUGUGAUGGUGUGUCCGAACAUCAUAACUGCACCCUAUUGGAUAUGAUGCAUACCAUGAUGUCUCUUAUCAAAUUACCACGAUAGUUUAUGGGUUAGGCAUUAGAGACAACCACAUUCACUUUAAAUAGAGCACCAUGUAAUUCCAAUGAGAUGACACCGUAUGAACUAUGGUUUAGAGAAACCUAAGCUGUCAUUUCUUAAAAGUUUGGGGCUGCGACGCUUAUGUGAAAAAGCUUCAGGCUGAUAAGCUCGAACCCAAAGCGGAUAAAUGCAUCUUCAUAGGACACCCAAAACAGUUGGGUAUACCUCCUGUCUCAGAUCCGAAAGCAACAAGGGAUUGUUUCUAGAAUCGGGUCCUUUCUCGAGGAAAAGUUUCUCUGGAAAGAAUUGAGUGGGAGGAUGGUGGAGACUUGAUGAGGUUAUUGAACCGUCACUUCAACUAGUGUAUAGUAGGGCACAAAGAGUUGUUCCUGUGGCACCUACACCAAUUGAAGUGGAAGCUUAUGAUAUUGAUCAUGAAACUUCGGAUCAAGUCACUCCCAAACCUCGUAGGAUGACAAGGAUGCGUACUACUUCAGAGUGGUACAUAAUCCUGUCUUGGAAGUCAUGUUGCUAGACAACAAUGAACCUACGAGCUAUGGAGAAGCGAUGGUGGGCCCGGAUUCCGAUAAAUGGCUCGAGGCCAUAAAAUCCAAGAGAGGAUCCAUGUAUGAAAACAAAGUGUAGACUUUGGCAGAACGGCUCGAUGGUCGUAAGGCUAUUGAGUACAGAUGGAUUUUAAAAAGGAAGACGGACAAUGAUGGUAAGUAUCACCAUUAAGAAAGCUCGACUUGUCGUUAAGUUUUUUUCCAACAAGUUCAAGGAGUUGACUAUGAUGAGACUUUCUCACUCGUAGCGAUGCUAAGAGUCUGUUGGAAUUAUAUUAGUGAUUAUUGCACUAUUUAUGAAAUCUUGCAGAUAGGAUGUCAAAAAACAUGGUUUCCUCGACGUUUUUCUUGAGGAAAGGUUGUAUGUGAUACAACCGGAAUGUUUUGUCAAUCCUGAAAGAUGCUAAUAAGUAUGCAAAGCUUCAGCAAUCCUUCUAAGGACUGGAGUAAGCAUCUCGGAGUUGGAAUGUAUGCUUUGAUGAGAUGAUCAAAGAUUUUGGGUGUAUACAAAGUUUAUGAGAAACUUGUAUUUGCAAAGAAGUGAGUGGGAGCACUAUAGAAUUUCCGAUGAGUGUGUGUUGUUAACAUGUUGUUGAUCGGAAAUGAUGUAGAAUUUCUAGAAAGCAUGCAGAGUUAUUUGAAAAGUGUUUUUCAAUGGAAAGCCUGGAUUAAGCUACUUGAACGUUGAGCAUCAAGAUCUAUAAGGAUAGAUCAAAACGCUUAAUGGUACUUUCAAAUGAGCACAUACCUUGACAUGAUCUUGAAGGUGUUCAAGAUGGAUCAGUCAAAGAAGGAGUUCUUGCCUGAGUUGUAAGGUAUGAAGUUAAGACUUAAAGCUCGACCACGGCGGAAGAAAGAGAAAGGACGAAUGUCGUCCCCUAUGCUUUUGUCAUAGGCUCUAUACGGUAUGCCAUGCUGAGUACCGCACCUGAUGUGUGCCUUGCCACAUGUCUGGCAAGAGGGUACAAAAGUGAUCCAGUAGUGGAUCAUUAGAUAGCGGUCAAAAAUUGUCCUUGGAGUAAUAAGGACAUGUUUCUCGAUUAUGGAGGUGAUAAAGAGUUCGGCGUAAAGGGUUACAUCGAUGCAAGCUUUAACACCUAUCCGAAUGACUCUGAAUAGCAAACCGGAUACGUAUAGUGGAGCAACCAUUUGGAAUAGCUCCAAGUGGAGCGUGGAAGCAGCAUUUAUAAUAUGACCUAGAGAUUUGCGAAGUACAUACGGAUCUGAAUGUUACAGACCCGUUGACUAAAACCUCUCUCACAAGCAAAACAUGAUCAAACCCAGAACUCAUUGAGUCUUAAUCACAUGAUGAUGUGAACUAGAUUAUUGAUUCUAGUAAACUCUUUGGGUGUUAGUCACAUGGGGAUGUGACCUUGAGUGUUAAUCACAUAUUGAUGUGAACUAGAUUAUUGACUCUAGUGCAAGUGGGAGACUGUUGGAAAUAUGCCCUAGAGGCAAUAAUAAAUUGAUUAUUAUUAUAUUUCCUUGUUCAUGAUAAUCGUUUAUUAUCCAUGCUAGAAUUGUAUUGAUAGGAAACUCAGAUACAUGUGUGGAUACAUAGACAACACCAUGUCCCUAGUAAGCCUCUAGUUGACUAGCUCGUUGAUCAAUAGAUGGUUACGGUUUCCUGACCAUGGACAUUGGAUGUCGUUGAUAACAGGAUCACAUCAUUAGGAGAAUGAUGUGAUGGACAAGACCCAAUCCUAAGCCUAGCACAAAGAUCGUGUAGUUCGUAUGCUAAAGCUUUUCUAAUGUCAAGUAUCAUUUCCUUAGACCAUGAGAUUGUGCAACUCCCGGAUACCGUAGGAAUACUUUGGGUGUGCCAAACGUCACAACGUAACUAGGUGGCUAUAAAGGUACACUACAGGUAUCUCCGAAAGUGUCUGUUGGGUUGGCACGAAUCGAGACUGGGAUUUGUCACUCCGUGUGACGGAGAGGUAUCUCUGGGCCCACUCGGUAGGACAUCAUCAUAAUGUGCACAAUGUGAUCAAGGAGUUGAUCACGGGAUGAUGUGUUACGGAACGAGUAAAGAGACUUGCCGGUAAUGAGAUUGAACAAGGUAUCGGGAUACCGACGAUCGAAUCUCGGGCAAGUACAAUACCGCUAGACAAAGGGAAUUGAAUACGGGAUUGAUCGAAUCCUCGACAUCGUGGUUCAUCCGAUGAGAUCAUCGUGGAACAUGUGGGAACCAACAUGGGUAUCCAGAUCCCGCUGUUGGUUAUUGACCGGAGAACGUCUCGGUCAUGUCUGCAUGAUUCCCGAACUCGUAGGGUCUACACACUUAAGGUUCGAUGACGCUAGGGUUAUAAAGGAAGUUUGUAUGUGUUUACCGAAUGUUGUUCGGAGUCCCGGAUGAGAUCCCGGACGUCACGAGGAGUUCCGGAAUGGUCCGGAGGUAAAGAUUUAUAUAUGGGAAGUCCUGUUUUGGUCACCGGAAAAGUUUUGGGUUUUAUCAGUAACGUACCGGGACCAUCGGGAGGGUCCCGGGGGUCCACCAAGUGGGGCCACCAGCCCCGGAGGCUUGCAUGGGCCAAGAGUGGUAAGGGACCAGCCCCUGAGUGGGCUGGUGUGCCUCCCACAAGGCCCAAAGGCGCAGCUUGGAGGAGAAGGGGAAACCCUAGGCUCAUAUGGGCCUAAGGCCCACCCUAGGGGGCGCCCCCCUCUCCCCCUCUUGGCCGCCCCCCCUUUUUCCCAUCUAGGGAUGCCGCCCCCCCCCCCUAGGGGUGGGAACCCUAGAGGGGGCGCACCCUCUUCCCCUCCUCCUAUAAAUAGUGGGGUUUUGGGCUGCCCAACACAUGCGAUUUGAUCUCUCCCUGGUGCAGCCCUACCUCUCUCCUCCUCGUCUCUUGCGGUGCUUGGCGAAGCCCUGCUGGAGUACCACGCUCCUCCACCACCACCACGCCGUUGUGCUGCUGCUGGAUGGAGUCUUCUUCAACCUCUCCCUCUCUCCUUGCUGGAUCAAGGCAUGGGAGACGUCAUCGGGCUGUACGUGUGUUGAACGCGGAGGUGCCGUCCGUUCGGCACUAGGAUCUCCGGUGAUUUGGAUCACGACGAGUACGACUCCUUCAACCCCGUUCUCUUGAACGCUUCCGCAUAGCGAUCUACAAGGGUAUGUAGAUGCACUCUCUUUCCCCUCGUUGCUGGUUUCUCCAUAAGAUAGAUCUUGGUGACACGUAGGAAAAUUUUGAAUUUCUGCUACGUUCCCCAACAGUUGGGUUAUAAUGGGAACCCCUUGAUAGUUCGCCUUGAUUAAAGCUUUUCCAGCAAUGCCCAACCUUGGUUUUACCAUUUGCCACCUAGCCUCUUUUCCCUUGGGUUUCCGGAGCCCGAGGGUCAUCUUAUUUUAGCCCCCCGGGCCAGUGCUCCUCUGAGUGUUGGUCCGAACCAGGCAGCCUGCGGGGCCAUCUCGGGGAAACUCGAAGGUUGGUUUUACUCGUAGCUUGACCUAUCUGAGUGUGCCCUGAGAACGAGAUAUGUGCAGCUCCUAUCGGAAUUUGUCGGCACAUUCGGGCGGUGUUGUUGGUUUAGUUUUAACCUGUCGAAAUGUCUUGAAGAACCGAGAUACCGAGUCUGAUCGGAACGUCUUGGGAGGAGGUCUAUUCCUUCGUUGACCGUGAGAGCUUGUCAUGGGCUAAGUUGGGACUCCCUGCAGGGAUUGAACUUUCGAAAGCCGUGCCCGCGGUUAUGGGCAGAUGGAAAUUUGUUAAUGUCCAGUUGUAGAUAACUUGAACCUUAAUUUAAUUAAAAUGAAUCAACCGUGUGUGUUACCGUGAUGGCCCCUUCUCGGCGGAGUCCGGGAAGUGGACACGGUGUUGGAGUAAUGUUUGCGCAGGUUGCUCUCUAGUUUCUCGCUCGCGCUUUGCCUCCUUUUCUCGCUCUCUUUUGCGAAUAAGUUAGCCACCAUAUAUGCUAGUCGCUUGCUGCAGCUCCACAUAUAUUUACCUUACCCUACCUAUAAGCUCAAAUAGUCUUGAUCGCGAGGGUGCGAGAUUGCUGAGUCCCUGUGGCUCACAGAUUACUAUUACACCAAAUGCAGGUCCAGGUGAUUCCGCUCCAGGUGACGCUUACGAGCUCAAGUGGGAGUUCGACGAGGACUCUCAGCGUUACUAUGUUUCCUUUCCUGAUGAUCAGUAGUGGUGCCCUGUUGGGGGUGAUCGGGACCAUGUCGCUUGUUGGGUUAUCUUUCAUUUUGGCGCCGUAGUCGGGCCAUGAGUGUUUGAAUGAUGUAUGUUAUUUAUGUACUUGAUUGACGUGGGAGUGUAAGCCAACUAUGUUAUCCCUUUUCAUUAUCUUUAUUACAUGGGAUGUUUGUGAUGAUUACCUGACUUGCGACAUAUGCCUUCAAUGCGAUUAUGCCUCUAAGUCGUGCCUCGACACGUGGGAGAUAUAGUCGCAUCGAGGGUGUUACAGCCGUAGAAUGCUGUUCUGGAAUCCAUAUCUUGCUUGGAGAAGAGUGCUAUGUUGUUGUGAUUGUGUUCCCUCGUUCGGUUUGUGUGUCUAUAUAGCAGCCAGGAGCAAUAAGGAUGGGGUGCAAGAACAGUUCAAACCAAUUUGUUUGAGUGUCUUUUUUCUCAUUUCAGAGGGAAUGUUUCAGUGUUGUUAGUUAGGUGACAGCGACACACACGCGUGAGGAGCAAAGACUAAUCCUUUUGUCUAUAUAGGAAUCCCCGUGCUUUUUGUAAUGAGGAAGAAGCACCAUGCUUUGAUCAGGUCCUGGCGGCUAUUAGUACCAAACCGGAUAUAGAUCUUAAUUAAUUAUAUGCUCUCUCGUGCAAUGACCUGGUCGACUUUCAAACAAGCUUCCACGGCUUUGCACAUGGGUCUUAAUCGUUCCACAUGCGUCUUAAUCGUUCUACAAACGCGGGCGGUAUAGGUAAUACGUAACAAAGUUGACAAACGUGACACAUUCAAAUAUUCCAUGGGCACGUCAAGGAUAUAGACCCGCCAACUUUCCUAUAAUCGCAUGUACUCAAAGAUGUAACUUUGCCUGUUUUCAAAUAAAGUUCCAAGAGACUUUUUCUUCGAAAAAUAAAUUUACAAGGGCAAAGACUGGUUUUGCUGAUCCGUUUCUCCAGCUAUUACAUUAUAUAAAUCCAGUAGUUCGAGCCGACAUAGUGUGAUGUGGUCGCCUCUCUAAGCUCGUCUCAUGGUUUUCAAUUCUUUCACUGAGAAAGCCAACUAACAAGUAUUUAAAGAGAACACACAUUUAUGGAAAACAUAGGCCCGAGAAUGGAUAUUGGGACGUUACAUAGACAUCAUCAAUCAUAUCAUAGUGCACAUAACAAAGCAUGUAAAACCAAGCUCAUGUUCUCCUACUUUUGUAGGCAUGUAUUAGUAUGUAGUUGAACUUGCUUAUUUAUAGGAACAAGAGCUUGCCCAGCAUCUAUAGUCCUACCCUCCCAUGUCACGGUGAUCAUAGUUUAAACAAAGGGUAAUUAAGGCGUCAUUUUGUGAGACAACCGUACCAACACAUUAACACUUCGUGAAUACAUGGAAACAUCAAAUCACAACACUCCCCAUUGAUAUCCCGGUCACCCUCGGGGUCACUUUUGAGGCUAUAAUAGGUACAUACCACACUUGCAGGUACAAUCCAGACACAUUGGCAUCAUGAAAACUUAUAUGGUUAAUAUAUGAUACCACGUUACUUGGGCCCUAUUAGUAGACAUUAAGCAUAACAAAGUUGUAUCAAAACCCUAUAAUCUUAGCACUACUAUAUGAUUGGCAUCGUCAAAUUCCCAUCCACCUGCCUACAACAGAUUACUUGCAUAUGGAUGGAAGAAACAUGAUGGAGAUGAGAGGAAAAGAGUUGAUGGCGGUGGAACUCCCUCUUAGUGUGCAGAAUCAACCUCUCGACAACCCUCCUAGACGAGGAUUAGCGAUGGUGUCGACCGUCAAGUGUCAGGAUAAUAUGGCAUAAAUUUCGUGGAACUUAGAACGCCAAGAGAAAUUGAUAGCCGGAAGGAGUUGAUGGGAGACAACCUUUGGAUCCCCACGCAGGUGGCUCACACAACCUCCUCCAUAGCCAGCGUGAGGAGUGGGGCAUUAAGGUCAAUGAUACUCAAAUCGGAAGAGACAUACCGAGGACGAGGUAAGGGUGGGGGAUAAUCCAUCAUUACAAAAGGAAUGUGAAACCGAAUUUUAUUAAACUAAUUUUCAUGUGUAUUAGAUUAUUAUUUUCACCCGCCAAAGAAUCCUAUCUGGAGCAAUAGAAUUAAAAUGGACAUGGGCGCUCAGAACAAUUAAUUGACAAACGCAAAAAUAAGGAUCUUGAAGUUUGGACCCAAGGACAACAAGGCAUAAAAAUUUUGAUAUCACAAAGGAAAUCGUGCAAACUACAAUGUAAAUCUAAAUUAACUUCAAUGUACUAACACGAGCAUUUUGGACAUUAGCAGCCAUUCAUGAAUUCGGUGAUUUUGGCCCAGCUAAGAAAAUUUGAUCAUGUUUAUUUCUUUUCACUUCCAGUUUAGAAACGUUUUCAUCCAGAAAGAAAGGUUCCGGAGAUUUGAUCAUUCGUUCUCCCUUAGUCUAUUUCAUGUCGAUAUGAUCCAUGGUUUUCUCAUUAAUUCAUUUUUCGUAAAAGUUUGUGAAUAAACCUCUCCUUAGCAAAGAAUCGUAUUUUAUUCCAGUAUAACAUUUCCUGUGAUGAUGUACAAAAUUAAAGUGUUUCUUCUACAUUUUCUUAUGCCAACCACAUGAAUACAUAAAUUAUGUGUAUAAUACAAAGAAUAUGAGCUUAAGAUGUAUCUGCAACAAAGUCUUGUAUCACAUUCCGUACCGCAAUAGGAAUUCUCACUGAGUGGGUACUUCCGUCUGACCAUGUCAAGCUCCCAAAAGUGUAUCCUCCUUGUACUCUCUGCCUUGUUGUGAAUGUCACCAUAAACGUCACGCUUUUACUAGUGCUUUGGGUGAAAUUUAUCACAGAUGGCUCUACGGACACGUCUAUCCCCGCUGGAGCUUCAACCACUAAAUGAUAUGUUGCUUCCGCUGGCCCAAUGUUAGUCACGGUGCGCCGAAGCAUGACACGGUCCUUGAGGUCUGGCACGGCAAUUGACGGGAGGUUGAGAUUGAGGUAGUAGGACUCACAGCCGCCUAAAUAUCCAAGGGUGCAGUUGAAAAACUUGUUGUACUCCCUUGCAUCAAUGUCGUAAACCAAGCCAGGGUCAACGGCUCUAUUUGGGUCAAUGUGUCCACCACCAAAGUCGAAGGGGUCGGCUAGUUUCCUUGGGACUGCUUCUGCUUGGAUUGGCAUGCCAAAACGAUCGGUCACAGAUGCUUCAACCAAUGCCAAGGAAUCAUCAAGUUAGUCAUAUAUUCAAAUGAGUUAUUUUGACAUAUUUUGGUUAUUACUUUCCUACCUGUGGUGACGAUGGCCGAUUUGAUCAUGGCAGGUGACCACUGAGGGUGAACCGACUUGAGCAUCGCAGUCACUGCGGAGACAUGUGGGCACGCCAUUGAUGUCCCAGAAUAGAACACGUAGGAGCCGCGUACCGCUGCCAAUAUGUUGACGCCAGGAGCAGUAAUGUCGGGCUGUCAAAACAUUAAUUUUUAUCAUGAAUUAGGUAUGUAAGUCUUCAAUUCUGAAAAACUAGAUAGGCUAGAUAGCAAACAAACAGUGACAAACAUUCAACUAUUUGCCUUAAGUUGAUAAUGAUAUACACCUUCAGUAUGCCAGGGAGCAAUAGGCUUGGACCUCUGGAGGAGAACGAGGCGACCCUCGGCGACAACACCCCAUUUCCAACAACACUUACAGCCGGAGACACCAUCACCACCGGAUUCCUAGACACAUGACAAACAUGAAUUAGUUCUUGUAUAAGGAGAUGGCAAACUGACUGUUCAAAUAUGUUCACACUGCAGUUUCCAACAAUUCGACAAAUUCUCACUCAGUCAUGUCCCAGUAGGAGAAAAUUCGAUGUGCGAUCUCGAAAUCCACCAGAGCGCAAGGCAUAAAUCCCUCGCACCCGACCAGGCUGUCAAGAUUGUUGGCGGUAUAUUGUGCGAAGAUGAGGCCCUUCGCACCGGACUCAAUAGUAUAAUUGAAUUGAUGGCAUAAGGGAGUAUUAACUGGGGCGACCACCGCGAUGCCUCUUCUGGUGCAUAACAAAGGACGGUUUUGCCCGUGACAUUGCCCAAGGCCAGUGAUUCCGGGUCGCAGCUGCUCAAAAGUUUUAAAAUUGAACAUGGUUUCGUCCUAAAGCGCGGCAUUUACUAUUAAUCAAAUGUCAUCAAGAGACUGGUUUCUUUCAUUACCUCCCAGCAUAAACAAGGGCCUGAGAGCCGCUGUUAUUUAUAGCUGCAUUGUAAUUUAGAGCUUGUCCCUGCGUUUGAAAUUGAUCACAAAUUAAAGGAGGAGCAAACCAUUUAUUUUCCCCGGGUUGGUUUGAACGUCACUUUCGUGCUCAGAGAGUCAAAAGGUUAUUAUUUAGUAAAAUUAUAGGGAAAAGCCUGAUUGACCAAUCCUCCACAUUCAUGCUAUCUUAUAUGAACUAUUUCAGGAUUGGAGCAUGUCUUAUCCAAUAACAUUUUCACCUGUUUUCUUUAAUAUUUUCCAUGGGGUUUUUCUAUCCCUUGAGAAGGGCAAGGUAACACUUCCCUGUAAUAUUUCUUAAGAGAUGGAAAAUAUACGAAAUGAUUUACAUACUUUUUUAAAACAAAGGAGUGAAAUAGUUUGGUACAUACCACCAGCUUUUCUUUGUUCCCAAGCAAUAUUAAGGUCGGAAAAGACCGGUCAAUCGUGCUAGCGGCCACCGGUCUUAACCCAUGGCACGGCAUUCGUCACCGUCUGUGGCACAGGGCCAUCAUUCCCUCCGGUGAACACGACAGAGAUCCCUCUUUGCACAGCAUGCAACGUCCCAGAGUACUCCUGACCAACCCCUCCAACAGAGAGCGACAAGACGUCAACCCCAUCAUGUAUAGCGUCAUCAAUGGCAGCAAGGACCGCCGUGUCAGGGCAACCCUCAUCCAGCCAGCACACCUUGUAGAUACCAAGUCGUGCACGUGGUGCUCCGUCACGUGCCACACCCAUGCCUAGGCCUCCAUAGCUGACGCCCUGCACUUCCCCACUGGCGAUAGUUGAGGCGACGUGUGUGCCAUGGCCAUUGAGGUCCCUAGGUGACUUGUAGUCGAUCUUUAAUGACUCGGCACUGAUGCCACGGCCAUACCACCGCGCACCGAUGAUCUUUCUGUUGCAACUAGUGGCGUUGAACUUCUCGCCACUCUGGCAUUUUCCUUUCCACCGUGCCGGCACGGGGCCAUAGCCGUUGUCAUCAAAGCUUCGUGAUUCAGGCCAUAUGCCUAUAAAGAAGCAUUUACAUCCAUGGGGUUAAUUGAUUCCUGGCCUUGGGAUUUCUCAUGUUUUGGAUUUAAGCUUAAGGAUGGGAUUACAAACCUGUAUCGAUCACACCCACAAUGACAUCUUCACCAUACUUUGCUCUUUUGAGGAGCCCCGGUUGUUGUGGCGGUUGAUUAUAGUCAAGGCCAAGGAAAUCCCAGCUCCGAGUUGUGUGCGUUUUGUGAAAAAUAUUAGUGUUCACAGAGACAACUUCAGGAAAUUCUACAUUCAUAGUAUGUUCAUUAGUUCAUUUCGAUCAUGCAAGUUGAUAUAAAGAUAGCAAGCUCAUGCCACCUCCGGACUGACAAUUAAUAAUCAUACUCCAAACAAAUAUGGUUGUGUAAAUGGCAAUGAUGAUGGAGAGGCUGGGGGCUUAACCCCGUCUUAUAAAAAAAAGGGUUGACAAUUACUUACUUGCGAUUGCCACAGCUUGAGAUUUUGUUAGCAUAGCCGCGAACCCAGAAAAUCCAUGCUUGUAACUGUAAACUAUCGGCCUCACGGCUUCAUCCUUGCUGUUUCAAGUAAUAAUAAAACAAAAGGGAGGUGAGCAAAUCACGACUGUUUCCUGCUAACACAUCUAUGAUGCGACAUGAAACUCAUAGCCAGUAGUACCUCCCAAAAACAGAUAUUAGCAUGUCAUGGUGCGACGCGAUGACCACGGACGGGUCAUCAUGUUUCUUCUCCCCCAUAUACACAAUGUAGAGCUGAAAUUUCAACAAGAAAAUGUUCUCAGUAAAAGAUUGGAAAGAAGAUAAGAUAAAUGCUGUGCGAAGAGGAAUCGAGCAUGGAUCUUACUUUGCUCGGCGCGCUGGCUGAAAGAGGCAGCAGCGUCACCAGCAGUAGCAGAGCGCCGCAGAAUGCUGUUCUGGAAUCCAUAUCUGGCUUCGAGAAGAGUGUUCCCUCGAUCGCUUCUCCCUGUGUGUAUAUAUAGCAGCCAGGAACAAGAACAAGCAUGGAGGCACAAGAACAGUUCAGACGAAUUUGUGUGCGAGCUGUUUCCUUCCCUUUUAAGGGAUUGUUUGUGUUGCUACUUGCUAGGUGACACACACGUCCGCAAGGAAGACCAUAUAUAGAUCCUUGUCUGUAUACAAAGCACCGUGCCUUUUCCAUCAGAGAAGAAGCACCGUGCUUUGAUCAGGUCUGCCAGGAUUAAACAGCUAACCGGAUAUAAAUAUUCUGGUAUCUGACGUAAUGACCUGAUCAUCGUCUUUCAAACAAUUUUCCGCGGUAAGUUGGGCAUGAAACAGGAUGGGCCGCUUUGAUGCCAGGACAAUCAUUUUAGGUUUUUUAGGCUUAUGCCCUUGGUUGGUUCCCACUACUCUUAGAUUUCGGACCUACACAGUUUUACCCUUGUUUCAAUAUAAAACCAUUUUUUUCUUUUCGAUUUGAACUCAAUUUCAUCAAUUCUGAAGUUGCUACCCACAUGUGUGAUGUGGUCUGUUAGACCAUUGCUUAGGGCAUCUCCAAUGCAGACACCUACUCCGGCCUCAAAUGUCUGAACCGGAUGGUUCAGACACUUUAGACCUCCAAUGUGGACUCCUACCAAAAUCACUCGGUCUGUCCCCAAAUCGAGAGGCGGGAUCGGGGAGUCUAGGCAUCGUCAUGUCCCAUUACUACAUCUUGAACCCAGCAACUACCUCCUUGACCCCUCCUUUUUUUUUCCANNNNNNNNNNNNNNNNNNNNNNNNNNNNNNNNNNNNNNNNNNNNNNNNNNNNNNNNNNNNNNNNNNNNNNNNNNNNNNNNNNNNNNNNNNNNNNNNNNNNNNNNNNNNNNNNNNNNNNNNNNNNNNNNNNNNNNNNNNNNNNNNNNNNNNNNNNNNNNNNNNNNNNNNNNNNNNNNNNNNNNNNNNNNNNNNNNNNNNNNNNNNNNNNNNNNNNNNNNNNNNNNNNNNNNNNNNNNNNNNNNNNNNNNNNNNNNNNNNNNNNNNNNNNNNNNNNNNNNNNNNNNNNNNNNNNNNNNNNNNNNNNNNNNNNNNNNNNNNNNNNNNNNNNNNNNNNNNNNNNNNNNNNNNNNNNNNNNNNNNNNNNNNNNNNNNNNNNNNNNNNNNNNNNNNNNNNNNNNNNNNNNNNNNCUGAAUGCACUGCGACCCAAUCAGCAUCCAGAGCUCACUGCCACUAACCACCAUUUGCAAUCAUUCGAGCAGAAGGAAUCGCUCCAUAAGGCCAUAAAUCACCUAAGUUGCGGUUGUCUUCCUCGCCUCCGGUCGAGCAUCGCCAUGGUUAGGUCCCAGCGCCCCUCUGUCCAUCUUAGCAAUCCCCAGGAGCUUCCAAAGACGGUGCUGCAAAAUAAUGUAUACAAACUAUAUAACUUGGCUACGAACAAUAGGCCAUCCCUCCAUUUGUCUCCUAUAAGCAGUUCCAACAAUGUAUUAAUGGUGACAGCAGGGUUACAAAUUUGUAAUUCCUCUCAAAUAGCCUCCUACAUCCGAUCACUGGAGCGAAGGAAUGUUCAUGGGCUUAUUCUAUUCAGCCUCAGCGCUUCUGAAGAGUGGCAACACCAACGAGCAUAAGCUAAACUAUAUGUAGCUCAUAAUUUCAGGUAGUAAUUGAUAGCAAAAGAAUUUUCCAGGCAAUAACUGAGAUUGCACUGUAUUUUCUUCCGAUCCCAAAUAGAGGUAUGUCGAGAGAUUACUGCAUCUCUUUUGUUCUCUUGUCGAGGCCAGCAUAUCCUUUUUCUGAAACUAAUUCUAGCAUAUCUCCUGGGAAACUGCAGCAGUGAACACACACU